UUUUUUUUUUUUUUUUUUUUUUUUUUGCUAUAAGCAAUUUUACAAAAAAAAAGGUUACCAAACACUCAAUAAUUUUAUAUUAUAGCUGUUUAUUCUCAUAUCACAGUAGAAUAAUUUUUUUUUAAAGCACAACAAUACCAAAUUAGCCAUUAUUCACUACAAUCAUUCCUAAAAUGGUAGGAUGAAAGGAGAAAUUUAAUUCAUGUUUAGCCCCUUUAAUCCGAUCCUCUAUAUGAAAUGAGACCUAAAUUUGUGGUGUCACUUAGUAUUACGAUUUAGAGUUAUUUUUCUUCACUUAUAAGUGAGAGAUUUUUUUUUUUUUUAACAAACGAUAUUAUCUACACUAAGGAGGUGGGGGAAUGCACUAAGCCUCACAAUGGGCUAGCAAUAAUGUAGUUCAAAUUCGCCUUUGGCAAGAGUUGCAUGCAUAUAUGGAGACGACCUAUUCAACCUUCAAUGCCACUAAUAUUGUCCUACAACAACAAUAUAGGGCACCAAAUUUCACCAAAUUUUCAAAUUUGAUCUCUGUUUUACUUCUUUCUGAAAAGCAAAACCAACUUUUGAUGAAAAAUCAUCAAGCUCAACCCAUUGGCUUGAACGCUACGCUUGAAGCGCAUGCGACUAAUUUUAGCAGCCACAAACGACAGAAGAACCAUCGUAGCCAUGGAAAUGGGCGGCAACUCCAGCCACGGGUGCAAGGUCAACAAAGCAAAGGCCUUGCCAAGGGAGGCCCCUAACUUCAAGAACAAGGGAAAAGCUACCAUUUAAUCGAAUUCCACUACAUUGGACAUGUGCUACCGUUGUGGAUCAAUGGACCAUUGGUCACGCGUAUGUUGAGCUACCCCUGAGACUAUUGCCAAGUAUCAUUCCUGUCAUGAGUCUAAUUUUGCACAUGUGGAACAUCCCGAUGAUACUACCACAACUAUAGAGGUUUCAAAUUUUCAGGUGGCUAGCAUUAUGUUUCUCUCAGGCAUCGAAUUUACUACAUCUCUCUCCAUUUUAUUGUUCUUUUGUUUCUCUCAGACAUCGAAUCUGUCAUCUCUUUCCAGCCCAAUACUUAUCAUUUAUAUGUAUUCACAAACUUUUGAUUCAAUCGUAUGACGUGUUCUGGCAAUUUCUGUAUUUGUAAUGCAGGUCUCACAGCCAUACACUUUAUUUUUCAGUGAUGAGAAUCUGGAAACCAUGGCUAUCAAGAAAGAAUUCUCAUUGGAGGAGGUUGAGAAUGAUGAGGUGGAUAACUAUGCAUGUUCAUACAAUUUUGGGGGUGCCGACCCGGCAGAGGGAGAGGAGAACGAUUAUGGAGACGGGGGUAUGGACAUGGAUGACGGAGGCAAUGGCGAUGACUAAGUAUUGAUAUGAUAAUGUUGGUUUGGUCACAUGGAGCCGUGUGAGAUGAAAGUCUCAUGCACCGUUUUGAAUGAGAAAGGAGUGAGGAAUCCUCUUUUCGACUAUGACCCCCACUCCAGUUGUUGCUUUUUCUUUCUAUUACUUCAAAAGUAGCUGCUUUAGCUUUAACCACCCAAUUUUUUUAUAUUCGUUUGGGUGGGAGACUUCUUGUGUAAGUUAAACUACCGUCAGCUAUUUAGAUGCGUCAAGUCCCACCCCCACCCCCACAUAUACCGAUUACUAUUACAAUGGAAAACAUAGUUUUGUCUUAACUUUUGUGCCGAUUAUACUGACUACUAUUCUUGUCUCGUCUUCACUUGUAUGUGAUACGUAUAAAGUUCGACUUGUAUGGAUGUGUGGCUGCUCAAGCCUUCAUUCCUUUAGAUAUAAAAUAAAUAGUAUCAAAAAUAUUUGUACUGGUUGUCACUAACAUUGCUGUUUAGUAGUAAUUAUUUUAUCACUUACAAGCUGAAAGCCUUGAGAGGACUCUUAACACUUGUUGCUGUUUAGUAGAAAACUUUUGUAGGAGUUGUAUUUUGUCUUAUACGUAGAAUUAACGUUUCUGAUAAAAAAACGAUAAGUUUUCUACUAAAGUUUGGUGACAACCGCUACUGUUUUUUAUAAGAAUAGAAAAUUAAGGGUGUUUGUACCAUACUUGACCAAUCCCGAAACUACUGAGUACUAGUCAACGUUAUACCGUUAAGGACCCAUAAGAGUUUCCCUCCAACCAUGAGGCCAAUCACAGCACGACAUGUGUUGACAUCAGAAGCCAAUCAUAGCGCGACACAUGUCAACAUCAGAAGCCAAUCACAACACGACACGUGUCAAUGUCAAAACAAAGCUAGAAACUCUCUUCUAUAAAAGGAGAUCAUUCUCCCACAAUAUUUUCUAAUGUCAUUUGUACUAAAUCAUUCAUUAGUACUCACUAAAGGAGAGCUUCAACCUAUGUACUUGUGUAAACCCUUCACGAUUAAUGAGAACUCCUCUACUCCGUGGACGUAGCCAAUCUGGGUGAACCACGUACAUCUUGUGUUUGCUUCCCUGUCUCUAUCCAUUUGUAUACUUAUCCACACAAGUGACCGGAGCAAUCUAGCGAAUGUCACAAACUUGACACUUUCUGUUGUACCAAAGUCCCCACUGAUUUUGUGCAUCAACAAAGGGUGUGUUUGUUUGCCUUCACUAAAUCUCCUUGGAUUGGAAUGGACUAGCUAUUAGUCCAAUAUCGUAUUUGUUACACAAGGAAUAGAUUUAAUGAGAUUAGAGCCGACUCGUCCCGACUAAGUCCUUUGUUAAAAGGUCUUAGCAAGACCCCCCAAUAAGCACUAGAUUACUAAGACCAUUCGUGUCCUCGUCCAGUCGUUCUCCUCGCUUCUUUGUUCUGGUCUGGUCAGCCGACCUCACCAGACCACCCCACCGACAGCGAUGGCGACGAUCGUCGACGAGAUGUACUUGUUUUUGGCUCCGCACUUCUUUGACUUCAUAAAGGAUGAGAGCGAAGCCGAGUCUACCAUAGAAAGCUCUUCAUUGCCGGCGGCAUGGCCAUUCACGUUAAUUGGAUGAGGGGAUGAGGAUGGGUCAUCAGAGAAGAGAGGUUGGAUGAGGAGACGAUGGUGGGCUCGCGGCUAGAGGAUUGAUUCAGAGAUGGAGGAUCUCAAUUACGCAGAGGUCUGAUAGACUGAUUCGCUUCUUUCCAUUUUUUCCCCAUUUUUUAUUUUUUAUAUUUUUAUCUUUUUGAUUUAGGGGAAAUUUAUCGACAGUGUGGAUUUAUUGUUUGGUUUGAUUUGAAUUGGGCAAGUAAAUCUUUGGUUUUUUUUUAUAUAGAAAACGAACUUUUGGAGUGGAUUAUGAGUUAAUUUGCAAUUUCUCCUCCUGCGUAUUUUUCAAUUUAGGAUUUGAUUGUAGGUUGUUAGAAUUUGUAUGAAAUUUUUUUAUUAUGAUUGUAUACGGUCCAUUUUUCAUUGGUUUUGUUAUCCCAUUUCUUAGUUCGACACAUCAUUAAACGUUUCACUAAGUUAGUCUAGCUUAGUCUAUUUUAAGUCAGUCCAGCUUAGUCCCAGAAGUUAAUCCAGUUCGAGAUAAUCCGGUACAACAAAUGCACCCUAAGUAUGACGCAUCGUGCUACAAUGAUUAGGGAAAUCGAAUGACUAUUUUGCUUUGUUAUUAAGGUUUUGGAGGCAAUCUCCUUGGUCGAUGUUACAAGGCGCUUUAUCGAGGCAUUAGCUCUGCAGUUUGGAAGACCAGUGGAAGCUGAUUCGGUAGGCAUCCUGGGCAUGUAAUGCUCUCUGCAAAGUUCUUGAAACGUUAAGACUAAUUGUUCAUGUAUCUAAUUCAUAAAGCUUAUUAAGUCUUGCAUGUUUAUGUUUAAUCUAAACAUCAUUGGUGGAUUACAUGUUAGGUGUACGUAAUUACUUGAACAUCACGAGGAGAAUAAGCAUUAAUAAAACUUAACCUUUAAAGUUGCAUAUUUUAACUCAUAAGUAAUUUGUAGAACUGCAUAGGAUUGUUAAUGGUGGGUGCUAAACCUUAGUGCUUUUUCACAUUUGAUUUCUGUCUAUAACUUUAUUUUAUUUUAGGAAAAAUUAGUAUCCGGUCCCUAGUUUUUACUAUUCAUUGACUAACACCUUAUUAGUUCUCAAAUUUUGAUUCAAGUCCCUAGCAUUAAUGUGAUAAUGAAUUUACAUGUUUAUUAUAUAAUUUUUUUAAUAUAAAAAUUAGUAAUUAAUUUAGGGUUUAAUACUCACACCUCUAUUAAACUUCUAAUUAAUUUUCAAUUCAAACAUUUCCAAAAUAAUAAAAAAUUAAAUUAAAUUAAGUUUGUACCUAUUAGUUUUUUUUAUAUAUAAAAAGAUUCUCAAUUUUUUAAUCUUAAAUGUACCCAUUCAUAUAAUUUUUCAAUUUUUUUAAUCUUAAAUGUACCCAUUCUCAAAUAUAUCAAUUUGUUAUAUGUAAAAUGUACCCUUUUUUAAUAUAAAAUCCAUUCAAAUUUUUUAAUCCAUGUUUAAACUUAUAUGGGUACAUUCUUUUUCGUUGAUUUGAGAAUGUAUCCAUGUUUUGGUACAAUAACUUUUUUUGUUAAUUUUGGUUAAUGUACCCAUACAUAUAUGUACACACACACACAAUAUAUAGAGAGAAUAAUUUAUAUUUUAUUAUUUUUAAUCCCAUAAUUAUGGGUUUUAUUUAAAAUCUCAUUAAUAUAAACAAUUACAAAUUUCAAUUUUUAAUUUUUAAUUAAAAAAAUAUAGUAACUUACAUUAUUACAUUAAUAUCAGGGACCUCAAUCAAAAACUAAAAACUAACAAGGUUUCAAUCAAAGGAUAUUGAUAGCUAGGGACCGCAUCCAAAGUGUCCCGGAAAAAUUAGUAUCCGGUCCCUAGUUCUUAUUGUUCAUUGACUAAGACCUUAUUAGUUCUCAAAUUUUGAUUCAAGUCCCUAGCAUUAAUGUAAUAAUGAAUUUACAUGUUUAUUAUAUAAUUUUUUAAUAUAAAUAUUAGUAAUUAAUUUAGGGUUUAAUACUCACACUUCUAUUAAACUUCUAAUUAAUUUUCAAUUCAAACAUUUUCAAAAUAAUAAAAAAAUUAAAUUAAAUUAAGUUUGUACCUAUUAGUUUUUUUUUAUAUAUAUAAAAAGAUUCUCAAUUUUUUAAUCUUCAAUGUACCCAUUCAUAUAAUUUUUCAAUUUUUUUAAUCAUCAAUGUACCCAUUCUCAAAUAUAUCAAUUUGUUAUAAGUAAAAUGUACCCUUUUUUAAUAUAAAAUCCAUUCAAAUUUUUUAAUCCAUGUUUAAACUUAUAUGGGUACAUUCUUUUUCGUUGAUUUGAGAAUGUAUCCAUGUUUUGGUACAAUAACUUUUUUUGUUAAUUUUGGUUAAUGUACCCAUACAUAUAUGUACACACACACACACAAUAUAUAGAGAGAAUAAUUUAUAUUUUAUUAUUUUUAAUCCCAUAAUUAUGGGUUUUAUUUAAAAUCUCAUUAAUAUAAACAAUUACAAAUUUCAAUUUUUAAUUUUUAAUUAAAAAAAUAUAGUAACUUACAUUAUUACAUUAAUAUCAGGGACCUCAAUCAAAAACUAAAAACUAACAAGGUUUCAAUCAAAGGAUAUUGAUAGCUAGGGACCGCAUCCAAAGUGUCCCGGAAAAAUUAGUAUCCGGUCCCUAGUUCUUAUUGUUCAUUGACUAAGACCUUAUUAGUUCUCAAAUUUUGAUUCAAGUCCCUAGCAUUAAUGUAAUAAUGAAUUUACAUGUUUAUUAUAUAUAAUUUUUUAAUAUAAAUAUUAGUAAUUAAUUUAGGGUUUUAAUACUCACACUUCUAUUAAACUUCUAAUUAAUUUUCAAUUCAAACAUUUUCAAAAUAAUAAAAAAAUUAAAUUAAAUUAAGUUUGUACCUAUUAGUUUUUUUUAUAUAUAUAAAAAGAUUCUCAAUUUUUUAAUCUUCAAUGUACCCAUUCAUAUAAUUUUUCAAUUUUUUUAAUCAUCAAUGUACCCAUUCUCAAAUAUAUCAAUUUGUUAUAAGUAAAAUGUACCCUUUUUUAAUAUAAAAUCCAUUCAAAUUUUUUAAUCCAUGUUUAAACUUAUAUGGGUACAUUCUUUUUUCGUUGAUUUGAGAAUGUAUCCAUGUUUUGGUACAAUAACUUUUUUUGUUAAUUUUGGUUAAUGUACCCAUACAUAUAUGUACACACACACAAUAUAAUAGAGAGUAUAAUUUAUAUUUUAUUAUUUUUAAUCCCAUAAAUUAUGGGUUUUAUUUAAAAUCUCAUUAAUAUAAACAAUUAGAAAUUUCAAUUUUUAAUUUUUAAUUUUUAAUUUAAAAAAUAUAGUAACUUACAUUAUUACAUUAAUGUCAGGGACUUCAAUCAAAAACUAAAAACUAACAAGGUUUCAAUCAAAGAAUAUUGAUAACUAGGGACCGCAUCCAAAUUGUCCCAUAUAUAUAUAUAUAUAUAUGUAUAUGUAUAUUUACUGUCGCACUUAACAUAUUGCUCUUGAUUAUCACUUUGUGCGAGAACAUGUUGCUCACACGCAUUAGGUUCAGUUUGCUUCUUCCGAGGUGCAGUAGUCAGAAGUCUAUCACAAUCGCACUUCUUGCUGUUGACUUUCAAAAUCCUCACUUCGCAUGUGCCUCGUUUGCGGGGGGAGUGCUAUAGAUAUGGUUGUUUGAAUUGUACUCCAUUCAUGAUUUGAAUUGUACUAUCGUGAUAAAUUCUUAUUAAUGUUGGACUAUCAGAAACUUCACAUGAUGCACUUUUUUGGAAGAGAUUUUGUGACAAUUGUGGUAGUUUUUAUGUAUUCUUCAUCUUUUAAUUGGUCGAGUUCGGUGAAUCAAGCAUGGUUCACAUGGAAUCAAAGCGGAGCAUGUCUACUAAGAUACAAGCAAAAGAAAUGUAUGUCAUCUAUUCUCAUGAUAAAGUGGGCAAAUUAUAUAACUAACCAAAAUGUUACUUCAUUAUAGUUGGUAAUUUAUAUUGCAUAAUAAAGGUUGCAAGAGGAAACCAAAUUUCAUUAAAGCAGUUACAAAAGCAGUUAUAUAUUACUAUAUUUAUAUAAUAUAUAGUAUUAUAUAGGUAAUCGAUCAUAUUAGAAGCUGUUGACAACUAAGUUUUGACAACUCUUAUUUCAAGGAAUCAUCUAGCUCAUAUUGACUCAAUUUUGAUGGAUAAUUGGUGGGGGUGGUCGCAAAUUGUUCAAACUUGGUGGUGGUGGUGGUGGAGGAAGAUUGUCGAAGAUUGUUUCGACCUGGGGAUGGUGGUGGGGGAGGAUUGUUUCGACUUACUAAAGGUGGUGGAGGAGGAUUAUUUAGAUUUGGUGGAGGUGGUGGUGGAUGGAUGUUCUGAGGUAGUGGAACUUGUGGGGGAUUGUUCCAACCACGUGAUGGUGGUGGUGGAUGACUGUUUUGACUAGGUAAAGGUGGUGGCGGUCGAUUGUUUGGCUGGGGUGGCGGUGGAUUGUUCUGACUUGAUGAUGUUGGUGGCGGUGGAUUGUUCCGACUUGGUGAUGGUGAUGGUGGUGCUCGUUGAGGAUUGUUUCGACCUGGUGAAGGUGCUGGAGUAGGGUUGCUAUGACUUGGUGAUGGUGAUGGUGGUAGAUUGUUCAAAGGUGGUGGUGCUCGUGGAGGAUUAUUUCGUCCUGGUGAUGGGGCUAAUGAUGGAUUGUUCUGAGGUGGUGGUGCUCGUGGAGGAUUGUUUUGUCCUGAUGGUGGGGCUAGUGGUGGAUUAUUUUGAGGUGACGAUAUUAACGGUGGAUUAUUCAUAGGCGGUGGUGCAGGCGAAUGAUUGUUUUUACCCGGUGAUGGUGCUAGUGGUGAAUUAUGUUGAGGUGGUGCUUGCGAAUGAUUGAUUUGACCCGGUGAAGGUGCUGGAAAAGGGUUGGGCUUACCAGGUGUAGGUGUUGGUGGUGGAUUGUUCUGAGUUGGUGGUGUUCGUGGUGCACUGUUUUGACUCGGUAAAGGUGCUGGAGGGGGGUUGCUUUGACCUAGUGUUGGUGUUGGAGUUGGUGGUGGAUUCUUUCCAGGGGGUGUUGGUGUUGGUGUUGGUGUUGGUGUUGGUGUUGGCGUUCGUGUUGAUGUUGGUGUUGGUGUUGGUGUUGGUGUUGGCGUUGGUGUUGGCGUUCGUGUUGAUGUUGGUGUUGGUGUUGGUGUUGGCGUUCGUGUUGGUGUUGGCGUUCGUGUUGGUGUUGGUGUUGGUGUUUGGUUUGGUGUUGUGUUGGUGUUGGUGUUGGCGUUUGGUGUUGUGUUUGGUGUUGUGUUGGUGUUGGUGUUGGCGUUCGUGUUGAUGUUGGUGUUGGUGUUGGUGUUGGUGUUGGCGUUGGCGUUGGCGUUGGCGUUGGCGUUCGUGUUGGCGUUGGCGUUGGCGGUGGCCGUGGCGUUGGUGGUGGCGUUGGUGGUGUUGGCGUUGGCGUUGGCGUUGGUGUUGGUGUUCGUGUUGGCGUUGGCGUUGGCGUUGGCGUUGGUGUUGGUGUUGGCGUUGGCGUUGGUGUUGGUGUUGGUGUGGUGGCGUUGGUGUUGGUGUUGGCGUUGGCGUUGGCGUUGGCGUUGGCGUUGGUGUUGGCGUUGAUGUUGGUGUUGGCGUUGGUGUUGGUGUUGGUGUUGGCGUUGAUGUUGGUGUUGGUGUUGGCGUUGGAGUUGGAGCUGGUGUUAGAGUUGGUGUUGAUGUUGGUGGCAGACCUUUUCUAGGUGGUGUUGGAGUUGGUGUUGGUGGUUGAUUUUUUUGAGGUGGCGGCGGGGGAGGAUUUUUCUGAGGUGGCGGUGGUGGCGGAUUCUUCUGAGGUGGGGGUGGUGGCGGUGGAUUCUUUUGAGGUGGCGGCGGUGGAGGAUUUUUCUGAGGUGGCGGUGGUGGCGGAUUCUUCUGAGGUGGGGGCGGUUGCGGUGGUUUGUUUUGAGGUGGCGGUGGUGGAGGAUUUUUCUGAGGUGGCGGUAGUGGCAGAUUCUUCUGCGGUGGGGGUGGUGGCGGAUUCUUCGGAGGUGGAGGUGGUGGUCGUCUCAGUACAAAAGGAGGAAGAAAUGGCGGCUUGUAAAAUGGUGGUAGCCAUGGCUUGGGAAAUGGUGGUAUAAACAUUGAUGGCUUGUAAAUUUCGUGUCUUAUGGGAGUGACUUGUAGCUUGUCAUCCUCAUUGUAUUGGGCAUUGGAUGAAGUUGUGAUAAGAAUAACCACUACAAGAAAUAGCACAAACAACUUUAAGUAAGUCAUCUUUGCUCUUCUUGUGUUACAAAAUGAGAAGGGGCAUCAUUUUAUAGGGGCAAGAAUGAUGGGUUUUGUGUUAAUAAUUUUGGUCAAUAGGCAAUUGGUAAUUCAUAGGCUCCAAUUGGGGUAGUAUCUGCCCAACUGGUCUAAUAACAUUGCUUUUAUGGUAGGGGAAGCUGAAAAUUUUUGGCAUGCUUUAUAAAUUGUAUUCCUUAUUCCUAAAUUGUUCAACAAAAAAAAUAUAUAUUUGUUUAAAAAUUUAGUAAAAAAGGGGUGCGUCUUGCAAUCUUGCAUUCGUUUUAGUGGUAGCCUCAGGAAUUUUAUUCCAGGAAUUUUUUAUCCGUUACCAGUUACCAUUUCGAGUUUCAAAUCCCCAAAACUGAAGCGGUGUAGUCUAGCAUUCUUGUUCAAGUGUUUGGAAAAACACUAGAAAAGAUAGAAAAAUGAAUGAGUUUUUAAUUGUCUUUAUUAUUUAGGGAGAUGACAUACCCACCCAUCAACAUUAUUUCUCCACCCACUUUUUAAUGAUACUUUUAAUGACAACUCUAAGCUUUUGCAAAAUGACUUAUAAGGCCAUCUUUAACUAUUUUAUUCUUUUGUUUUUGUAUUAAAUUCUGAAAAUAGAAGGAACAAAAACAUGAGCCCAGCAAGUUGAAACCACCGCACACAACACAAACCAAGUUGAAUCCACCGUUUUCCUCAUCUCUUAUGCCAAUUCCUUCCCAUCCAUUCGAAAUCUUCAUCAAACACCAUAGGCCCAUUACAAUUACCUUAAGAAACCUUGAUAAUUGGAUUCUCUCAUACCCAUUUGACGUGGUUUUGAUACCCCUCUUCUACGAUUAGUCCUCUACUUGAGUUGUAAUUGCAGAGAGCGACUACGAGGUCGACCGAGGAUGUUGCUCAUCCUCAUAGUCUUGAUCAAAUUAGAGACAUAAUUGGCUGACGAUGAGAAGGGGGUUGCUUGCCGUCGAGUGGAUGGAUAUGUGGUGGUGAUUAAUUUUCUUUGUAAGGGAUAGUUUAGGAAUAUCAAUGGGUGGGAAAAUAGUGUUUUCAUUUUUACCUUUUGAAUGGGGUGGAAAAAUAAGGUGGGGUGGGGAAAUAGGAUUGUGAGGUGGGUCUAAUAGCUCUCAUUAUUUAAUACCAAGGUUAUCUAACUUAUUGGCAUUCGAUACUCCAUCAUUCCAACAUUUGGCUUUUGUAUUUAAAUCCAAUCAAUUUUCUUUUCUUCUUAAAUGUUUGGCCUUAAACUGUCAUUUUCCUCUUAAUCGGUCGUCCCUUUCUGUUCAACCUUUGUCUUUAUGUAAAUGGCAAGAGUUUGGCCACUGGGUAAUUGGGGUUUAGCCAUUGACGCUUGGACAUUUAAACUCUAAGCUUAGCAUAUAUGGAUGGGGUUAAGCAUCCUAUUCUCCAUCCCCUUGCUAAAUAUGUUGGCAGGAUAUGUAAAGACCAAGAAGCGUUUGGUGCUAAGGAUUGGAUUGAAAUGCAUAAAACAUUUCAAGGUAUGUUGAAAGAAAAAUUGAAAACAUUGUGGCCAACUAGGAAGUAGGAAUCAAUAAGACAACUUAGGGCUGAUUUGGGAUUGUGGUGUUUUUUUUUUUUUUUUUUAAAGCAACAUAUAAAAAAAAUCUGGAACAUCAAAUAUGUUUGGUAAAAAAAAAAAAUUUAAAAACUGAUGUCAAUAAUAGUAGAAAAGCAGAAGUAGAACCUACUAUGCUUAUAACAAAAUUGUUUUUUUUUUUAAACAUAGUGAUCAGUGCCAAUUUAAUGAAAUUUUCAAAUGACAAGUAUACCCACCAAAUUUUACAAAAUUACAAUAUUUACCCUUACAUUAUUCUCUUUAGCAAUUAUUAUAUCACAUUAAAUAUCAUAUAUUUUUUAGUCAUUUAGCAUAUUCACAACAAUUUUAUAUAAAAGUUUACCAAACUUUUUUUUUUUGCUAUAAGCAAUUUUACAAAAAAAAAAAAAGUUUACCAAACACUCAACAAUAUUUUAUUUUACAGCUGUUUAUUCUCACAUCACAGUAGAAGCAGUUUAUUUUUUUAUUUUUUUAUCUUUUUAAGCACAACAAUACCAAACUAGCCAUUAUUCACUACAAUCAUUCCUAAAAUGGUAGGAUGAAAGGAGAAAUUUCAUUCAUGUUUAGUCCCCUUUAAUUUGAUCCUUUAUAUGAAACGAGACCUAAAUUCAAGAAUGUCAUAAAUAAAAUAGGUUCCUAAAAGCUAUACAAAUAUAACCACUUGGAUAUAUAUUAAUGGGCGGCAACUCCAGCCACGGGUCCAAGGUCAACAAAGCAAAGGCCUGGCCAAGGGAGGCCUCUAACUUCAAGAACAAGGGAAAAGCUACCAUUUAAUCGAAUUCCACUACAUUGGACAUGUGCUACCAUUGUGGAUCAAUGGACCAUUGGUCACGUGUAUGUUGAGCUACCCAUGAGGCUAUUGCCAAGUAUCAUUCCUGUCACAAGUCAAACUUUGCACAUGUGGAACAUCCUGACGAUACUACCACAACUAUAGAGGUUUCAAAUUUUCAGGCGGCAUCCACUCCUAUGGAAGAAUGAAGUUUAUUUUUCUAGACAUGUUCAGGUGGUUUUUACCCUUAGUUAUCGAACCCACUAUGGAAUAACUUGUUUGGUUUGGUUUGUUUUGAAUUAUGGAUAAUUAUGUCAUGGAUAUUAUUCUCAAUUGAUUAAUUGAAUGAACAAAAUUAUAUAUAUAUGCAUGUGAUCGAUUCAAUUAAUUUAUUUCUAGGUAUGACUAGUGGGGAAGUUAGUUGUCUGGCUGAUAGUGCUACAACACACCAUCUUUUGUGAGCAACACUAUCUUACUAACUUCGUACCUAAAAAUGCACCUUUGACAACUCUCUCAAGUUCAUCUAACCUGAUGGAACAAUACAUAAAGGCUCAUAUAAUGUUGUCUAAUGGUAUUGAAUUAACCAUAAAAAUACCUUAUAUUCUCCUCGUUUCGGAAAAACGUUGCUAAGUUUUAGAGAUAUCCGAGAUAAUAAAUAUCAUAUUGAAACCACUGAAGAAAAUGAUUCUAAUCAUUUCUUACGAAUAUGGCUAGAAAUGUAUUCACAAGAAGUUGGAAUGUUUUUCGAGUGGGUUGUACAUCACAACCAUUAGAGCCAUAGAGACCUAUCACGUGGACGACCCUAAGCUCGGGUUCUAGACCCUUUGCUGUCUUGGCAUGACCGGAUGGGACAUUCUAAACGAGAUAUGAUGCGCCAUAUCUUCAAAUCUUCACACGGGUAUCAUAUAACCUCUUAUUGGAUACCCGACUUGCAAAGCAUGCCACUUGGGGAAGUUGAGCACUCAACCUUCAUCUAUAAAGAUUAAUUAGAACCCUCCAAAGUUUCUUUAAAGGAUUCAAGGGGAUAUUUCAGGACCUAUCCAACCAACAUCCGGACCAUUUAGAUACUUCAUGGUGUUGGUUGAUGCAUUGACACGUUGCUCAUAUGUCCACUUAAUGUCCACACGCAACGCUGCUUUUGCAAAACUCUUAGCUCAAAUCAUUAAGCUUAGGGCUCACCACCUUGAUUAUAUGAUUUAGUAAAUUUGACUAGAUUAUGCUAGAAAGUUUACGUCACGGUCCUCUGAUGAUUAUUGCAUGUCAAUUGGGAUUGAAGUUGAGCAUAUUGUACCCCAUGUUCAUACUGAAAACGGUACAAUAGAAGCUUUCAUAAAGCGCAAUCGAUAGCUCGGACUUUGGUUAUGGGAACCAAAUUGCCGUUAUCUGCCUAGGGCUAUGCAAUUCUACAUGCAUCUAUGUUGGUAUGCUUGAAGCCCACCACUACCCAGUCUCUUUCACCAUUAUAGUUGGUCACUGGAUACAAGCCUGAUGUUUCGCAUUUGUGUGUGUUUGGGUGCCCAGUCAAUAUGUCAAUAACGACACCACUACGUACCAAAAUGGGUCCUCAGAAAAGAAUGUGAAUUUAUGUCGAUUAUAAUUUGCCAUCAAUUAUUCUCAACUUAAAGCCCUUGACAUGAGAUCUCUUUACCGCACGUUUUGCGGAUUCACUUUGAUGAGACAGUCUUGCCGCUGUUAGGGGGAGAUAAGAAUACUAACGUUUCUAUAAAACGUCACAAAUUGUUGUGAUAUGCUCCCACUAUGUCUCAUUUAGAUCCCCGCACUGCCCAGUCUGAAACCGGAGUGCGUCAUAUUCUAGGUCUUUAGAGAAUUGCUUAAAGCAUGCCAAAUGCUUUUACUGAUCUAAAUAAGGUGACAAGAUCACAUAUACCAACUACAAACACACAUGCAAUGAUCGAUGUACUUUAGGUACGUUGUAACAUCGCCUCAGAAGAAUGACCCAUCCUUAAAUGAAGGUUAGCCGCACCUCCCACGUGGGUCAGUACACUGGUAGCUAGCCAAUUAUCUACUCCUACCUUGAAGCGUGGCAGGCCUCCUAGUUCAAAGGAUUUACAACCACAGAAGAGGAAAACGACACAAACUAGUGAUCCUAGUAUGAAUUCAACCAUCGCUUACUUAUAUGUUCCAACUAUGAGGUUAUUCUAGAUUACGAUGAUGUCUUAGAUGAGACAAACCGGCCUCCCAAGAAUCGUGAGAUUCGGUCCAUUACGCAAUAUUGGAUGAGAUUUGAAAUCAGAAUGAGAUGAUCGUCAACGAUGCCUUUGCGUACACAGUAGCUAUUGACAUCAUGCUUAACAAUGACAUUGAACUACGUUCCGUUAAUGAGUGUCGACGUAUAACUGACUGGUCAAACUGGAAACAAGCAACCCAAGUCAAACUUAAUUUGCUUACAAAACGUUGUUUAGGCAUGCAGCUCCUAUUCCACCACAAGUUAAGCUUAUGGACUAUAAGUGGAUUUUCGUAAGAAAAUGUAAUGAGAAGAAUGAAUAGUGUGAUACAAAGCACGCCUCGUAGCGUAAGGCUUUUCUCAAUGCCUUAGAAUUAAAUACGAGGAGACAUACUUUCCCGUAAUGGACGUCAUAACAUUUCGUUACCUUAUCAGUUUGGUAGUUUCUGAAAAACUAAAUAUACAGCUUAUGGAUGUGGUAAUCGCGUAUCUCUAUGGGAUCUAAAUAUAGAAAUCUACAUGAAAGUUUCUGAAGAGCUUACAUUGACUAGAUCAAAUAGUUCUAAACCAUGGAACACCCUAUCGAUUCAAUUGAGGAGUUCACUGUACGGAUUGAAACAAUCUGGGCAUAUGUGGUAUAACCGUCUAAGUGAACCUUUGACAAGUCAGGGUUAUGUGAACAAUGAACUAUGCUCAUGCGUGUUUUUUAAGAAGUUACAUUCCGGAUUUGUGAUCGUUGUAGUUUAUGUCGAUGACAUGAAUCUCAUUGGGAUUCUUGAAGAGCUUGAGGAAACUGCCGCUCACUUGAAAUCGAAAUUUGAGAAGAAAGAUCUUGAGAAAACUUGAUAUUGCCUUGGCCUGAAGAUCAAGCACUGUUAGGAUGGAAUCCUAGUACAUCAAUCGAACUACACCCAGAAGGUGCUGCGACGUUUUAAUGAGGAUAAAGUGAAGCCUUUGAGUACUCAUGUGGUCAUUUGGACUCUAGAUAUUAAACGAGAACCCUUCAAUCCUAAAGAGGAUAAGGAAAAGAUUUUUGAGCCUGAAAUUCCACACCUAAGAGCAAUUGGUGCUUUAUUGUACUUAGCUUAAUGCACUAGACCCAACAUCUCAUUUGUUGUAAAAUCUUUUGGCAAGAUAUAGCAAUGCGCCUAACGCAGGCACUAGAAUGGUGUCAAAUACAUUUUCCUCUACCUUAAGGGUACAACAGAUUUGGGUUUGCUCUACACCUAUGAAUCCUCGAGGGGAGCCGCUGCCCCUUUCGGUCUUUGGGUUGAUUCUCGCCUUGUUGGUUAUGUUGAUGAAUGUUAUCUAUCUAACCCACAUAGGGCACAUUCUCAAAUGGGUUAUGUCUUUACCAUUGGAGAUACCGUAAUUUCUUAGAGGUCUACCAAGCAAUCGUUAGUUGCGACUUUUUUUAACCAUGUUGAGAUUCUCAUCUUGCAUGAAGCCUCGCGUGAAUGCUUUUGGUUGAGAGCAAUUAUGGAACAUAUUCGAACCACUAGCAGUCUUUCUACCAAUGUUGAUGUUUCUAUAACGAUCUUUGAAGACAAUGAUGCAUGUAUCGAUCAACUGAAGAAGGGAUACAUCAAGGGAGACAACACCAAGCACAUUGCAUUGAAGUUCUUCUAUUCUCACCAACAAUAACAACAUCAUAACAUCAAAGACAAGCAAAUCCGUUCCCAAGAUAACCUAGCCGAUCUCUUCACAAAGUCAUUGCCCAAGUCUACUUUUAGAAGCUUGUCCAAGGAAUUGGUAUGCGUAAACUUUCUGAUUUGAAUAGCUCGUAGUUCUCUUAUUUGGAAGUUAUGUCAAACUCAGGGGGCCAGAAGCAUACUCACUUAAUAUUAAUGUACUCUUUUUCCCUAUGAUUAUGAGCAUUUUUUCCACUUAGUUUUUGCUACCUAACGAGGUUUUGAUGAGGCGCCCAUCCUAGGAUGAUCAUACUUCUUUGAUGUUUACUACUUUUGUCUCGGAUGACGUUUGUUUUUUACAUUAUGCAUACUUGUCACUUUUCUCCUUAGUCUUUGGGUUUUGCACUUACCUUAGGUUUUACCAUAGCAAAGUUUUGUGAGUUUACUACCAAUGCAUACUUUCUUUAAUUUGAGAUUCGCAUUUGCUCGUUUUGUCGACGACUUCAUCAACUGAUCUACUUCAUCCGCUGAAGACCUGAUACGAUAUUUUGUUUGAGUAUUUACAAAUUCAAGGGGAAGUGUUGUAGUCAUAUUUAUUAUAUGAAUGUGAUUGUGUAAAUCCUAUUAUAUAUGGGAUAUCUUUAGUAAAUUCUAUCAUAUCUUUUAGACUAGAUAUUAUCCUAUUGGGGUAAGGAAUGUACCUUAUCUACUACUAUAAAUAAAGGCAAAAUGGGGUGGAAUACCACACACCUCACAAUUACACAUCUCUCUUUUCUCUCUCUAUGCCGUCGGCCACCCCUCUCUAUCCCUUAUAAUUUUUCAGUAAAAUAGGCCUACAACAAAACUAAAUUUGUGGUGCCACUUAGUAUUACGAUUUAGUGAUACUUUUCUUCACUUGUAAGUGAGAGAUUUUUUUAUUUUUAACAAACGAUAUUAUUUACACUAAGGAUGUGGGGCAGUGCGCUACGCCUCACUAUGGGCUAGCAAUAAUGUAGUUCAAAUUUGCCUUUAGCGAGAAUCAAACCUAAGACUUCUCACUUACUGGUGAAGACCACUAGAUCGUUGUACUGAGUGGCUGUAAGUGAAAGAUCAUAGAUUCGAAUCUUUUAGAUAGCAAAUUCAAAAAAAUUUAUUCUAGGCUUUUGAACAUUAGCCCUUCAAAUAAUUGAAAUUUAAAAAAAAAAUAUGGUGUUAGAUUGCAUAUUGUCUUUGAAGUGUACUUUUAUUAAAAUUCAUAUUCUAUUUUUUUUUAAUUUAAUGUCUUCGCAUUAAAAUUUUGAUUUUAUUAAUAUGCACAUUUUAGUUCUUCCAAUUAUAAAUAAACCUAAAUGAAAAACAUUUAAAAAAAAUUAGUGACACAAAAGAAAAAUAUGUAAAUACAUAAGUGUAAAAAAAUGACUGUACCAAAAUAUACUAAAUUAACUUCUUAGUACCAAAAUAUAUUAAAAUGAAGUUUUCUAUUUACUUAUUCUAUCACCCCUUUGGGUGGCCUCGCUAAGGUAGGGUUGGACUUUUAUGUCUAUUUGUGUUGAUUAGUGAAUGAUCAAGUAGUCCUGCGAUGUUACAACACGUCCUUUAAAAUAAUGUAUUUUUUUCCGAGACAUAUGGAAGGACAAUUUUACACCUGAGCAUGUGUCUUGAGUAAUCUUCGAGCCUCGACUCGAAAUCCAAUUCUUAUACUUUCUAAUGUUUUCCUAACUAUAUUCACGUGUGUGAACGUGAAAUCGAAAAUGAAACGUGAAGUGAAGCCUCGAUGGCUAAUUUGUAUACUUAAAACCUUGAGAGGGGAAAAUUGGUAAUUUCACUAAAUUUUAAGUGGGAUUAACCCACUCCGUGUCUCACUUUCCCCUCAUUUAUGCAAUUCUCCCUCUCUCCUCACUCUCGAACUUAGAUAGAAUAAAAUACAAUAAUACAUAUUUAAUCUCCAAUAUAUACACUAUGGCUAUUGUAGUUUAUAGUAAGUUUUUUUAAUAGUUUAAAUUUAAAAUUAUCGAAAUAAUGUUUUUCUUAACAGGUCGUAACGUGUUACCCACAAGUUACCCGUGUGUAAACCAGUUAAGGACCUGUUAUAAACGGGCGACCCAAUAAUGACUCGAUUGUUUAUCGUGUUGACCCGAAAUCUGUUAUUUUCAUGUCAUUUCGUAUUGUGUUAGCAUGUCGUAUAAGAAAUUGUCAGGUUUGAAUUGUUGUAUUAUUUAACUAAGAUGACAUGACACAAACUCAAAAAAUUGUCCAAACUAAAGUUAAAAUCACUGUUUUGAAACUAAAAAUAAGCAUUGUUUGUAAAACUGAUUGUAAUAUUAUUACUUACUAUGUUCUAAAUGGUGAAUGUUUAUAUUUUUUUUUAACUCAGAUAGCAUGACAAAAGCUCAAAAAAAUUGUCCAAACUAAAGUUAAAAUCACUAUUCUGAAAUUAAAAUAAGCACUUUUUAUAAAAUUGAAAUAAAAGUUUUUCUUCAUUUUUUAAGAUUGUAAUAUUAUUACUUAAUUUGUUCUAGAUGAUGGAUUAUUGUAUUACUUAACUCAGAUGACAUGAUUCAAACUCUAGAAACUUGUCCAAACUAAAGUUAAAAUCACUAUUUUCGUAUUUAAAUAAGCACUGUUUACAAAACUGAAAAAUAAAAGUUUUUCUUUAUUUUUUUGGAGUGUAAUGUUAGUACCUUGUUCUAAAUGAUGGAUGAUCGCAUUAUUUAACCCAUGGGACAUGACACACUCAAUAAGUUUGUCCAAACUAAAGUUAAACUCAUUAUUUAUAAAACUGAAAAGUGAAAAAAUUUCUUCAUUUAUUGGAUUGUAAUAUUAUUACUUAGUUUGUUCUAAAUUUUUUAUGAAACACUGAUCAAAUAAACAAAUGAUAUAGUAAAAAUACAAAAUAUAUUGUUUAAGAAGUGAGAGUAGAGCGACGUGAGAGAGAGAGUGAUGAGGGGUGAAAGGAGAGAGGAGGGAGAAAAUUGAUGGAGAUGGGUGAAAGAGGAGAGAGUGACUGAGGGAGAGGGAGAGAGAGUGGUGGGGACGGACGGGACCUAUGCGUCAACCUUUUUUAAGUUUCUUUCCUUAUUAUAUUAAACUUUUUUUUCAUUAAAAUUCAAACCUUUUUCAUUAAACAAAGUUAUUAGGUUUUCUUUUGUUAAAAAAAAAAAACCCUUUUCAUUAAAUAAUUUUGUCCAACAAACACUCAAAUUUGCCGUUAAUAAACAAGAAAAAGAAAAUAAAGAUUAGUGCUUUUAUCACUACACUCAAUAACCCUAAACAAAAAUAUUAUUCUUACUGUUUGUAUGUAUUAUCAUUUAUAUCAUCUCUCUAAUAGAGCGGCCUACCAACCCACCACACCACUGCACCUCACUAUUAUUUCCAGCGAAUCCAAACCAAACUUUCGGCACAAUUUACCCCCAAGGUCAUCGACGAAUGUUAACUCCUUCCAUUCUUUUACUUCUCUUUCUUCGUCUCCCUCUUAUCAUAACCUUGAAUUCGUCGAAGGUUCAAUUGUCUUCACCCAAAAACAGAAGGGGUGUCGUGGAUUGCUGGGAAGCAUGAAAGCCUCCCUCUAUGUUUCCCCGAUAGGGUUGGUUGGAGCAUAUACAAGUUCUAGUUGUUUUAAAAUUCUUUUUAUUUAUUUUCAGGACAAAUUUGAAAUUUAUUAAAUAAGUUUUUAAGGUAGGUGUAGAGAUAAGAUAAAUUGGUUCAAAUAAAAUUUCCCAAAAAAAAUGAAGAGAGUUUAUUCUCUUUCCUCUCACCCUAGAUCUCCACUCAAUUGCAUUUUGCAUUCACUUUCUCCAAUUGGGCAAUUCCCAAUUUCCAAUUCCCUUUUUCCUGUAAGCACCCACAACUGAUCCCUAGGCCAUCAUCAGUGAAAAUCAUCAUCGAUUAGUUUUGGCUAUCCCAUUCCAAAUCUGUCAACUCCAAUUUUGAAAUCGGAAAUUGGUGACAUUGGCGAUUGGUGGCAUUGACUAGUAUAUACAAUGAGGGCUACCUAUAUGUUCUUUUCGAUAUUAAAAUUUAUUAACUAGCACAUAAAUGAUUUGUUUAGAACAUGUGCAGUUUAAACUAAUUUUAAUUCCAAUUCAUGCAUAUUUGGUAAAUAGCUUGUAUGAAAUCAAUAUCAUUCAUAUUCCGAUUCUAGAUAGUUAGUAAAUAACUCCUAUUAAAAGCUGAUUCUAAUUUCUCCUUAAUUCAGUUCUCCCUAUUCUGAUUACAUGGUUAACUUGCCCAUGAUGUUUAUCGGGUUGAUGCUUAAGUAUGUACAUAGAGCAUAGAAAUGCAAAGAUUUUGGAUUAAAUAGGGAAUCGAACAUUAAGAAAACAGUUUAGAAGAAAUAAAAGGGUUGUCAUGAUUUAACGGUAAUUUUAUUCUAAUUUUUGUUAAGAAAUAUUAUAUUUCAAUCAUUGAGGAAAUGAUGUUACAGAUACAUACACGUAAAGAAUUAUGUGUGAAAAUGAUCCUUGCAAACUUAAUCUAAACAAUUACGAUAUUUCAUUCCAACCAUAAAAAAAAAAGUACAAUAUUUUAUUUAUGGACUCGUGGUAAUAUUAAUUAUAUCUAAUCUAACCCAAGUAUUAUCAUUUAUCUAUAAUCUCUGAUCUCUAUUCUCUAAAAGUCAGAAGUCCAUUUGGUGUCGCAAGCUUCACAAAAAACAUUUGGACAUAAAAGCCCCUCAAAAAAAAAAAAACUGACAUGAAAAACUGAUUCAUCAUCCUCAAGGGUAUUUCUGUCAACAACAAAUCAGAAUACAGCUUAAUAAAUAAGAGAAUUACCAAAAAAAAAAGAGAUAACUCCCAGCAGCAAACAACAUACUCACUUCUAUCUUGGGAAAUUUUGAAAAAUAGCCAAUUUUAGAACCAUAAAUUGAAUUUAGCCAAACUUUUUAAUUGGGUAAAUUACACUUUCAUACCUCAGGUUUGGAUCCAUUUCAACCUCAUACAACAACUUUAAAACAUUUCACUUUCAUACCUCAAGUACUAUUUUAUUUUAAUAUAAUACAUCCGUUAGAUUUUUCAUCAAUUAAUCCGUUAAAUGCUGACGUGGCUGUCACAUUUGUGCCACGUGGCUGCCAAAUGUCUGGCACGUGGCAAAUAAAAUAUUUUUUAUUUUUUUUUUUAAAAACCUGAAUUUUCUUAAAAAAAAAAAAAUCCCAGAUCUACAAGAAGAAGAAGAAUAGGAAGGAAGAAAGAAAAAGAAAAAAAUUGUCCUCCCCCCAAUUAGUUAGUGAGUGAGUGAGUGGAGGAAGAAAGAAAAAGAAAAAAAUUGUCCCCCCCUUAGUGAGUGAGUGAGUGAGUGAGUGAGGUAAAGUAGAAGUGCUUUGCUUUGUGAGUAUGGUUUGCUAAAACGGGUUGAAGCUGAUGAUAUAUAAAUUGACUUGCACUUGCUUACGGCUAGAUGGACAAUUGGAUAUCUUUAUGAUUCCAUUCGUUCUUCACGCAAUGCCAUCGCCGCCCUGAUUUCAUUCGUUCUUCGCACCAGUAAACGAAGACGAGUUUUAGAGGACGCUUGCCUAAUCUGCACCGCCACCGCACCGUGGCUGCCCUACCAUACCCGCAACGCAACCACGACCCGCAUCCAUGCUACUGCUCACAGAGCCUGCGAGAAUCUGCCGCACCAAAGCCAUGAAACGCGCCCACGGAGCCCAGGAUUCGUACCCGCGAAGGCCCAAAAGAAAAUAGAGAAAAUUGAAAAGGAAGUGGGGAAAAAAUGGUUCUAUAAAAGGUGAAAAAGGGCUCUGCCGGCCUAGGACCAACACUGGCUGCGCGACUAAGGGAGAGGGGAAUAGAAGACAGGGAGGGAGGGAGGAUUAGUAUUACAAUGGGUAAGACUUUUUAUGUGUAUUCUUUUUGUUAGAAUUAUAAGAAGUUAAUAGGGAACUUUAAUGAAAAGGGUUUGAGCUAACAAAUAUUUAAUAAAAAAUCAUCUUAAAAUGUUAUUUAAUCAAAAAGGCUCAAAGUUUAAUAAAAAAAACUAUCCAAAACUAUUGUUCACGACCCAAACCUGCAAGCUCAACCUGCUACAAAAAUAAAUUUCCGUAAAUACCCCUAUAUGAUUCAAAACCGUCUUGUCUCUUCACCAACCGUCAUUAUCACAGAGUUAAACCAGCACGAAACCACCAUAAAGAAACUUUUGGUCUUCCCGUCAAAUCCAAUUCCCCCAAUUUCAAUAAACCAACAAAUCAAAAUUCAAAACAAACUUGAAAAAAGAGAUAAACUGUGAAAAAAAAAACAUUCGCAGAAGAAAGAGAUAAACAAAGCCGCCGAAAAAGAGUUGCAAAACAUACUAGAACCUUUGUGUGAACAAACCGGAGAAAAAGAAGUGCAAAACUUACAAGAACCUCCGUCAGAACCAACAGGCGAAAAACAUGUGCAAAACGUACCAGAACCUCCGUGUGAACAAACCGGAGAAAAAAAUUGCAAAACGUACAAGAACCUCCAUCAGAACAAACCGGCGAAGAAGAGGUAAUAAUCUUAUACCUGUUAGAUUAUAAAUUCUCAUGUACUUGUUAAAGUUAAACAUUUACUUUUCCAGAAAUAUAGUACGACUGUUUUGCCACUUUUCUAGAAACCAAUGGAAUCUAUUAUGAUUUGAAUAAAAUACCUUGAAUACAGUACGAACGAUGACGACAAUCUGAAAAACUACGAUCGCAUUCAAUUUGAUUAGCACUUCAAAAGUUAAAACGACGAUCACGUUCAAAUUGAUAAGAAUUCGAAAAUCUGGUUCUCAGAGCCUUCAACCAGCUCUGGCAAAAAGAGUUGAACAUUGAAGAAAACGGAACUGAACAAAUUUAAAACAAUUUAACCUCGAAAAAUCAUCAUUUACUAUAGUUGGGCCAUUUUUAGUUGGACUGAUUUAAUAUGAGCCUUGUACUAACCAUUAAACAAACUUAUAGAAUGGUUUUUGGUUAAAACUAAAAAUUUUCAAGCCAUUUUCAUUAGUUUUUCUAAGUUAAAUAAGUUUGGCUAAAAUUCAAUACAUGCUUUAAAAUUACAAAAUUUCCCGUCUAUCUUCUAUUCCCCAUUUUCUGAACAAACUUCUUCCUCACAUAAACCUCUCUACACAAUUAAUCAUUCUUGCCAUGGAGGGAGAUCAAACAUGAUAUGCCACGCAGCGUAGACGUGUAAACCGCGGUGGGAAAAAACGCGAACGUGUAAGGAAACAUUUUCGUGAAAGGAGAGAAAUAAAAUCCAAAUAGUUUUGAUUGCUUGAUCGGCAAUCGAAAUUGUCAAGCUUCAAGAAUUUGCAAAACUGUUUCCUCUCUGGUACAUCAAGUCGACUACAAACACAAUAGCUUUUAGUCCUAGUGAAUUUUCAUCGUUGGUUAUCCAAAUGUUUUCCUGAUUUAAUGAAUUCUUUCUUCAAACAUUGAGUUAAUAUCAUUGCUCCAUUGUGCUUUACCAAUGUAAAGAUCUUAGGAAGUUAGUUGAUCUCUACAAGUCCCAACUAAACACCGGCAAUUGAACCAUUGAGAAUCGACGUCGCCAAUUCCCAAUUCUGCUACUCUUUUAAUUUCAGAAGCUGAGGAGAGAGAGAAAGAUGGCGACGAGUCCGGCGCUGAAGGUAGGGAUGGUGAUAGGUGGGUUGUGCAUAGCCAGGUACAUAGUGGGCCCACGCCUAUACUGGCCCUUCAUGGAGGGCUUAGCCGCUGUCUCCAACUCUUCUUCUUCCUCCUCUUCCGCUUGCCAUCCCUAGCACCUGCGAUUGCUCUUCUCAGCCUCUCAUCUCUUGAUAAUUAAAUAGGUAAAUGAUUUCGAAUUGAAUUGAAUUUUUGCAAGAAUGAUCUAUGAAUCGAGACUUACAAAAUAAACGGUUCGAAUUAUUGAAGUUUGAUGUAGAAUAGGACCCACAACUAAUCUCAUUUUUUAAAGAAAAAUAGGGAUCCCUUUACCUAAAGGGCAUAUAUAUGUGUGUGUGUGUAUAAUAUAUAGUUGAGCAAUGGUCAUAAAGUAUUAAAGUUCCUUCUUUUUGAAAGAUUUGCCAUUUUGUGUAUGUUUAUGAAAGAGAAAAUUAGAAUUAGAUGCCUUAUUUUAGACUUUUGUAGACUAAACAUUUAUGCUUUUUGAGUUUAUGAUUAAGCUUUUGAAACAUUUGAUUAAGAUACUCAGACUUGAACUACUUCAGAAUAAAAAUUAAUUUACAUUUAAAUAUUUGCUAUAUAUUUUAAAUAAUUUCAACUAUAUUUAAGUCUAAAAAUUUAAACUUUUCAAAUCUAAAUGUACACCCACGCCAAAUGGAAACGUACCAACAUUAAAUGAAAACGUACCAACCCCGAAUUAAAAGUACCCCUAUAUUAAAAUAAAGAAUUUAAAAAUAUUUGAUUCACACAUAUGUCUCUAUUUUUUGAUGUUUCUUGUUUUUUUGUUUAGAUAAAUUUAUUAUAAUGUCUUCUGACAAUCAUUUUUCUUAAAUGUAUCGAUCUUUGAUUAUAUUUAAUCCUCUAUUAUUUAAUUAUUUUUCUUUAAUUAAUAUACAUGUAACUUAAAUUCAUAUAAUUUUGAAUUAUACUAAAUUAUUUUGGUUAUAUAUCUUGUUUUUUUUGAUUAUAUGAAUUUCUUUUCUUAUAUUUAUUUUAAUUUUGAAUUAUAAUUUAAUUUAAAUUUUUAAUUUAAAUCCUUUUUACAUUUGUUAUUUACUUUUUUUAUUUUUUUUGAACUCUAUAUCUUAUUAAAAUGUUAUUAUUAAAGCAAUUCUCCAUUAUAUUAUUUUAACAAAAAUGUUUAAUAAUAUUAUUUAUGUUAAACAAUUAAGUACCUCAUUUUUAUAAAAUUUAAAUUAUUUAUUUACCAAAUAUUUUUUCAAAUGAUUUUUUCUAAAAUUUUCAAAUGUACUUCUUUAGUUUCUGAUCAAUCAAUUCAAAUUUUUUUUAUCUUUAUAUUCUUAAUCAAAUUUAAUUUUAUUUAAUUUUUAUUAUUGUAAUUAUAAACUUUAAAUGUAAUAACAUGUAUCAAUCAUAUAUAUUUUUUUUAUUAUUAAAUAAAAUUUAUUAAUAAUUUUUUUUUUCAUUUAAAAUGAAUUAUUUAUUUAUGAAAUAAAAUAUUUUAGUAAUUAUAAUUAUGUAAUUUGUCAUUAUUGUAAUAAUUAGUAACCUUUUAUAAUUAUCUAACUUCCAUCCCUUAUUGUUCUUAUUAAUUAACUCUUAUUUUUAAUUUUUAGCAAUUUUUCCAAAAUCUUUUUCUUACUCUCCAACCCUUAUUACCUAAAUUUUUAGCCUCAAAUUAUUUAUAUAGAAUGAAAUGUUUUAGGCUUAAUUUUUUCUUCUUAGUUACUUUUUAAAUAAUGUAUAAAAAUUUAUUGUAUUUACAUUCAUAUGAUUUUAUUAAUUUUUAAUGAAUUGAUUAUAUUUUAUUAAAUAUAUUUAGUUAUUUCUUGAAAUUUUAUUUAAUUUUUGAUUUUAAUAAAUUAUUUUUAAAAUUUCAUAUGACUUAAUAUUUAUUAAUCACAAACUUUUUGAAUCCAUUCUCAUAAAACCUCCUUUAUUAUUCACUUAUGAAAAAAUAUGAAACACAAUAAUAAAAGAUUUUUUUUAAUUACUUAGCAGUUUAGAUUUAAAUUUGAACUGUUUUUUUUUUUACGGUUGAAUUUUUAUUUCAUCAAUUAGAUUUUUUAACCGUUAGAUUCAAUAAUUUUAUAAAUAUAAACUAUAAUUAUAAUUAUACAUUAUAUUUAUGGUGUUUUAUCUCUACUAAUCUCUGGCUAAAAUCUUUCUUUUUUAUUUUUUAGCUUUACACACAUUAGCAUGGUUUUGGUUUUUUUUUUUUUUUUUUGGAGGGGGGGGAAUAAAACCUAAAAAAUAGCAUUUAGCCCAGGUUGGAGAUAAUGAAAUAAUUAAUUUAAUAGUUACCAAAAUUGUAGGGAAAUAUGUUUAAUCAAAUUUGCAAAAGGAAUAAAUAUUUAGUCUAUGACAUUUAAAAACGAGGCGUCUAAUUCGAAACGUCUCUACCUUAGGGUUGAAAAAACUUAGUCGUUGGCAAUACAUGCUUUGUGGGAGAGAAAUAGGGGCAUUGCACAGGCCCCCAAUUUGAAUCUCAGUUUUUUUGCACACCAUUAAUAUAUAAGGUUUUUUAAUCAAUCAUUAUUAAUAUUUUUUUUAUAUUUUUUUAGGAAUCUUUAAGGGAAUGGAAUUCUCCAUUUUAUAAAUAAGGAUUUUAUGUGGGCUCACACAUUAUAUUAAACAUUAACGACUCGAACAAUGUAUUUUUUAGGUUGCACCUUAUAGGUCAUUCUUGCAAAAUAUUAGUCAAAUUGAAAAUAUUUGAGACAUUUAAUUGAGUUCAAAGAAAUUGACAAACAUUUUGUUCUCUAAGAAAUAUUUAAAUUUCAUCAUGAUAAUUAAAUAGGCAUAUGGUUUUGGAUUAAAUUGAGUUUUUGCAAGAAUAAUCUAUGAAUCGAGACUUAUAGACGGUACGGAUCAUUGAAGUUCGACUUAAAUAAAGGGCCUAUAAAUAUAUUAUAAAAUAAUAUAAUAUUUUUCAUAAUAAAUAAAUAGAAAAUAGCCUCAUAAGAAAAAGAAUAUUAAAUCAUUUCUCUCUUAAGUAAUAAAGUUGGACUGAUAACAACCCGAUUCAUGUAAAGUAUUUAGCAUAUAUUAUCAUACGAUUGUUGAUUGAAUUUGCAUAGUAAAUUUACAUACUUCAUGUUUUUAUUGUUAAUUUUACUUUAGUGUUUCUUAAUUGAUCAUGAGUUUUAGUUUUAAAAUUAGGAGCUUUAAUGAAAAAUGUCUGGACCAACUUUAAUUUAACAAAAAACCACCUCAAACUUUUAUUUAAUGAAAAUGGCUUGAGAUUUAAUAAAAAUGACAAAAGUAACAUACAACAGGCCAAAAAAAUUAAAUCUCAUGGGCUGAAGCAAAGCCCAACAUGCAACAUCAAAUCUUUCUUCCAACUUUGCCCUUGUCAGAGAUUAACCCUUAACACAACUUCACAUUAUUUAUGACAUUGCCAUCGAGCCAAAAGGUCAAAUAAAACCAAAACUAUUUUAAUUUUCAAUUUUUUUUCUUCAACAAAUGUUUGCAACCAUUGCCCCGAAUUAAAACUCAUAUCAUGACAAUUAAUUCAAGAACCACAAUCAUUAACUUUUACUCUCCUCUCAAACCCAUAAUUGUCAAACAUUGUCCAUAACCUACAUCAAACUCAUGAUUCCUUUGAAAAAAGUGCAAUUCACAAACCAACCUUCUCAAACCCAAAUUUUUUCAACGUCCAUUUCCGUUUUCAUAGCCUACCUUCUCAAAUCUAGAUUUAUUAACUUGAAACCAAACAAAAAUUACUUACAAACAACCCAAAACUCCUCAAAAUUAAAACUAAGCAAACAAUUUCGAAAAAAUAUAAAAGGUCGUACCCAGUGCACAAGGCUCCCGCUUUACGCAGGGUCUGGGAGAGGUGAAUGUCGGCUAGCCUUACCCCCAUUUUAUGGAGAGGCUGCUCCCAAGUGAAAAAUCAACAAAGAUUAUGAAAAGAAAAUGUCACCUUUGAUUCUCCUUCAAACCUAUGAUUCUCCUCCAAACCUGCAUGUCACCUUUGUUUUCUAUCUUUUAUUUGGGUUUGAGCAUCUGUGCCCUCACCCUUUUGUAUUUUCCCGUCUCAAACUCUAUCAAUGUUAUUAUUAUUCUUGAUCAAAAAAGAAAAAUGUCCAGGGAAUAAGACCGAGACUAAUUCAUAAACUCCCAGAAUAUAUUAUUCCAGGGGGACAUGUCAAUGAGAUGUAUGACUUGACUUGUGAAGUCAAUGCAUGCUCAACCUAUCACAAUAAUGCCAAUUAUCUGCCAACAAGAUAAUAUUACCAAGGAAAUAAGUUAUAGUGGUUUUGGAGAGUAAAGAAAUAAUUUAAAACUUAUUAGUGCUUUUCAAAAUCCUUAUCCAAACACAAGGUAGUGAAAACCUUGGCUCAUAAGACUGGAAUUCUCCUAGUUUUAAAACUCGUUAGUUUUGUUCAGUUUAAAAAAUAGGUGUAAUUUUGCUGUAGUUUCAGAAAUAGUGUGAGUCAUUUUGAUUCAAUUUCAGAAAUAGUAUAGGUUAUUUUGUUGUAGUUUUAGAAAUAAUGUAGGUUAUUUUUAUGUAAUUCUAGGAAUAAUGUUUAUUUUAUUCCCUUCCGGAAAUAGUAUAGAUUAUUUUGGUUCAGUUUUCAUAAAUAGUGUGGGUUAUUUCGUUGUAGUUCCAGUAAUAGUGGGUUAUUUUGCUGUAGUUCUAGAAAUAGUGUGAGUUAUUUUGGUUCAGUUUCAAAAAUAGUGAGGGUUAUUUUGCUGUAGUCCCAUAAAUAGUGUGAGUUAUUUUGCUGUAGUUCUAUAAAUAGUAUGAGUUAUUUUGGUUUAGUUUCAGAAACAGUGUGGGUUAUUCUGCUGUAGUUUCAAAAAUAGUGUGAGUUAUUUUGGUUCAGUUUCAGAAAUAGUGUUGGUUAUUUUGCUAUAGUUUCAGAAAUAGUGUUGGUUACAGAGCAAUACCCAAAUUGAACAAAAAUAUAUCCAUUUACAUAUUAAUUCUCCCAAGAGUAGUCGUAUUAAAGGUAUGUUUAGAAGUGACUCCGGAUUUCCAAAAUCACUUGUGGCAUAAGCAUUCGCCUCUCUUAUGUGUUUUCCUAGAAAUUCACUUCCAAAAUAUUUAAAUCGGGAAUUAGUGUUACAAAUUUAGGGGUUAGACGAAUAUGCAUAUAGCGGAAAAUGUUGGUGGAGGUUUGGGAAUUAUAUGAAGGAAUGGAAUUGGUCAUGAAUAAAAAGUAAAUAAAAAUCUCUAAUUAAAUAAGAAAACAAAUAGUCUCCAUUGGAGCUUUGGAUUGGAUCAGGAUCCUCUCCUGAGCCUAUCGUGAGGAUCCUCCUGAGCAAGUCAUCGGAUCGUUAAAAUUUUAUCCAACGGUUAUAAAUAAGGAACUCCACUAAAAAUUAUAAUAAUUGUAACCGUUGGAUAAAAUUUCAAUGGCCCGAUGGGUUUGUUUAGACCAUCUCCAACCCUUUGGCUAAAAGCCAAAUUUUUUAGCCCGGAAAAUUUGGCUUUUAGCCCAGAAACAUCUUUUCUGCUCCAACCCUUCUGCCCUAAAAUUUUAGCCCGGAAUUAUUAAAGAAUGAACUUAGGCUAAUUUUUUUCUUAAGUCAAUUUUUAAAAAUAAAUAAAUAAAUAUGUAGAUUAUUGUAAAUUAAUUUAUGAACAUUUUAAUCUAAAAAAAUUUAAAUUCCGAUAAACAUUUGGCAUUUAGCCAGCGGGGAAAGCUGGGGGGUAUUUGGCCCAGAAAUAACAUUUGGCAUUUAACCUAAAAUUUUAACAUGAGUUGGAGAGUGUUUGGGGGGGGGUAAUUUGGCUUUUAGUUCAGGUUUGGAGAUGGUCUUAGGAGGAUCCUCCCGGUAGGCUCAGGAGAGGAUCCUAAUCCCUCUGGAUUGACCCAACAAUGGACACAUAAAUCGGACUUUGUCACUCUGCAUGACUUCUGUCCCACUUCCUUAUCCCAUUAAUCCCUCCAUAUUUAUAGAACCAACCUGCAUUCCAUGGAGUUGCAAUUCAAGGUUUUCGUGAUUUUUCUGCUGUUUGCUUUUAUAUUUUAUUUUUUGUAAUUCUUUUUUCUGAAUACUUUUGCGGCCAAGCAACAAUGUUCCCAAUAGCAAACCCUGACCUUAAUAUCCCACUCAAUUCGAACAGCAAGACACCAAAGAUUGAAAGAUUGAAUUGAAGUAAGUGGACCCAGGUUUUUCGUCAGUUGAGAUUUUGGGCCAGAGCGGGUCUGACAAAGCAGUGACAGCGAUACUCGAAUGUUCGUCGACAAGGCAACAAUCUCUCCUCUCCUCUCCUCUUCUUCUUCGCGAGAAGAUUGUCAUUUUCAUGUCACCAUUACAAUUAGAAGGCCUAUUUAUAAUUUUUGGGUAGGGCCGCUAAAUUCAGGAGGACCUAAUUAUAGAUUUGCUUAUUGACAUGAUUUAGAGACGGCCCUAAUCGUCGGCAUCCGCGUCUCUUUAUUUACCAUAUCGGUUUGGUAACUUUGAUGUGUGCUUGACUGAUCGUGGACAAAUUUUCCAUAGGAUCAUGUGACAAUGACUGCAAUCUAACCUCGUACUUUUCUCUUUCUUCUUACCUUCUGAAUAUUGACAGAGAUCAAUUUUUUUGCACUUAUUUUGUGUGUCACUUCUUUGUAGUCUAUUUUAGAUUGACACGUAUUAAGUUUAUGAGAACAAAUUUAAGGAGGAUUAAGUUUACUAACUCGUGUCAAUACGAUAGAGGCCACAUAGAUGUUUCACGCAAAACGAGUGCAGAAGAUUUGAACUCAUACUAAUAUACAUGUUAAUUUGCCUUUUGGGUUUCCAAAAGAGCAACUCAACCAAAAAAACAUACAUAAUUUGUAUGAUUUUUGCAUAUACCACUUUAACGCAGUGGUGGAAAGCAAUCACGCUAAUGCCCUGUGCGGAUUUGAUCCACAUCGAUUAUCCUUCCCCCUAACAAUUUACUAUUUAAACCCACUAACGCUAUUGCUUACUUAAAAAAAAAAAAUAUAUAUAUAUAUAUAUAUAUAUAUUAUUUUUAAUUUUAUUUUAUUCCCACAUUUACUAGCACCAAUUAUCAAUCUACAGUAGAAUAAUUGUUCGAGCUUUGGCCAAGACAAGGUUGUUAUUUGGCAAUAUCGACAAGUUAUUAUGGUUUAAACAUAAAAAUUAGAAAUGUAAAAUAAAAUAAAAUAAAAAAGCAAUAGUUUAUUAUUCUUUAUUGGUGUUACUGUUGAGAAUGAAUCUCACACGUAAAAAUUGAUAGACAUUGCAUGUGCUUAUAAGUAAUUAGGCAACUUUUCAUAUUGCUAAUUGGUUUUAUGGUGGAACCUCAACUUUGUUCAUGGUAUCAGAGUAUGGUUGUUCCACGUGUGAAGCCCAACAACUACAUGUUCCUCAUAUUAAGCGAUUGAUGUUGUCCACGUGUUAGAUUAAGGCGUGUUGAGAGUGAAUCCCACAUAAAAAAGAUGAUGGAUCUUGCAUGUACUUAUAAGUAAUUGGGCUACUUCCCACAUUGUUAAUUGGUUUUAUGGUUGAACCUCAAGUCUUUUUUUUUUUUUUUUUUUUUAACUACACACGCACAUACAUAUAUAUAUAUAUAUUUAUUAAGAUAAAUCAUUAUUAAAAGAUAAUUAUGAUAAAAACCAUAAUUUUAUCUUUUAAUGUUAAUAAAAUUAGGGAUGUGCUAUCCACACACCCCAUUUUACUUCUCACACACCCCUUGAUAAUUUCUGUCCGUUGAUCUUCUUCAAUUCAUUCCGAUCUGACGGCCGAAAAUUAAAAAGGUGUGUGAGAAGUAAAAUGGGGUGUGUGGAUAUCAUACCCCUAAAAUUAUCUUCAUUUUUUCAUCCGACGGUUGGAAACUAUGCCCAUUCAACGGCUUUCAUUGCGCGGGCCAAUAAUGUAAUUUUGGGUCCAAACAAUAUUUAUUAAGGAGAGCUUGAGAGUUUGAAAUUGUACAAUAAUUUACAAACAAUUAAGUUUUGAACCCAAAACCUAUACGUAAAAACCCAACACUCUAUUAGCUAUAAUAUUUGACACAUGCAAAAUUUUAUUUUUCACUGAUAGUCCAUCACAGAAGGCCAAAUUUCUGAACAAUUUUAAUUAGCUACACCGGAUGAGAAUGAAAUAAAACGAAAAGAGUGCAUAGUUCAUAUAUCUAUACUAUUAUUAAAAGAACCCUCCAUGUCAACUUUUUGCCACUUUUUUUCCUAGCCCUCACUUUGAUAUACAAUACUUACAUAAGUAGGGCAAAAUAGUAAUUUUGUAUCUUUUAGGAAAAUGGCAAUCAUAUCCCUAUUUGUCCUAUUUUACCCUCACUUUUGAUACAUAAUAUUUACAUAAGAGCAAGUCCACCCCUAAGGACUUUGCGCCAGCACCCAGCGUAUUUAUCCACUCAAGUGAACAGUAAUAGGCCAAGGCAUCUCCACCCCUAAAAAAAUGCGCUGGCACCUAGCGCAUUUAUUUGGUGUGUGUUUUUUUUUUUUUAAGUUUAUUUCGGAUAAGAUUUUUAACCAAUUUCGGAUAAAAUUUCAAAUAAACUUAAAAAAAAUACACACUAAAAUAAAAUUACAUACUCAUCAAAUAAACUUAAAAAAAACACACUAAAAUAAAAUUACAUAAACUCAUCAAAUAAAUUAAGGAUGAGCUUUUUGGUAAUUUUUUUUCACACAAAAAGUAUAUGAAAGCUUUGGUAGAAGGUGUAGAAAAUAUUGAAAUGUGGUGUAAGGUGGAAGAUGAGGGUUAGGUAUUUAUAGAAAAAAAUAUUAACUUUUUUAAAAUUUUACUGUAUUUUUUUUAAAAUAAUCUGUAUUUUUUUAUAUUUUUAAUUAAUUUUAAUGUAGUUAAUUAAUCUGGACCGUUGAAUUUGAAAAAUAUUCAAAUCCAAGAGCCCAGGAUCGGCCACGUGGCCAACGCCAGCAAAUGGCCCAGCUUCUUGGUUAGCCUGUUUUGUGCUGGCCCAGAGACCAGCUUGGGCUGGGUGUAGGCUGUUUUGUGGGCUGGAGUGAAUGGACAGAGUCCCAGCCUAUUUUUUGUGCUGGGUGCUGGCCUAAUUCACCACCGGUGGACUUGCUCUAAGGAGCACAAAACAGUAAUUAUGUAAUGUUAAGAUAAAAUAUGCACUUAUUAAGAGAAAUUGUCACACCAUCAUUAUUUCAUACUCUUUUUAAAAUUUUAAAAACUAAUCACUCCUUAAUAUAAAAAACAAAAAACAAAAUGAAAUUGUUCACACACACAAAGUGUGUGCUCAUCUGCUAGUAAAUAUUAUAAUCAGAGCCUGGAUGCUUUACAUGAGAAGAGCAUACAACUCCAUAUCUCUGAACUAAUCCUCAACUGCUAGCUAGCCGAGCGCUAAAUACCAGGAUGGUACCAAGUAGUACAAAUAGUGGCAUGAAUGCAACUACGUACGUACGUAAUAGUUGUAACAGAUGAUCACUCUUAUUCUACAUAAUAAUAUAUGGAACCGAGCCAGCAAGCUAGUCAUCCAUGCAUGCAUCAUCAGUUGGGAAAUGGAGGCUUGUGUGGUGGUUUUUGAGGUGGCUUGACAGGGCGAGUUGGGGGCUUCUUCCCAGUACCAGUUGGGGGGUUUUAGUUUCCGAGGUGGCUUGUGAUCUGAGUCUCUUCCCUCCUCCACCACAUUCUCUUCAAGAUGACCAUCAUGAUGAGGUGGCUCAUCUCCCUUACCCUUCGGUGGCUUAUCUCCCUUACCCUUUGGAGGCUGCUUAACUGGCUUUGGUUUUGGGUCGUGUUCAGGGAAUGGCUUGUGAUCUCCAUCGUCAUUAUGUUCAAGUGGGGUUGGUGGCUUGCCUUUUGGAGGUGGCUUUGGCUUCUUUCCCUUAGGAGGCAAUUUCCCAUCCAAUGACUCUGCCUCUAAUAAACGACGUCCGGUGUUUUGUUUGUGAGGCGGCUUGUGCUCCGGUGGUGGCUUCUUACCCUUGGGAGGUUCAUCAUGACCUGGGCUUCCCUUGUUCUUCGGUGGUGGCUUUUCUCCUUUUUGGGAUUCCUGAUCACCUGGGUGUCCUGGUUUGUGCUUGGGCGGUGGCUUCUCUCCUUUCUUCGGUGGCUCGUCACCUGGGUGUCCAAUACCUGGGGUAUGUCCUGGUGGUCCUCUCUUCGGUGGCUCAUCACCUGGCUGUCCUGGUUUGUGCUCUGGUGGCGGCUUUUGUCCCUUUGGAGGCUGAUUGUGCUCUUGAGGUGGCUUUUGUCCCUCGGGAAAUUUGCCUUCCACCUCUAGCAAGUGGUGUUCAUUGUGUGGUGGCUUGUGCUUGGGUGGAGGCUUCUCUCCUUUGCCCUUGAGGGGCUCGUUAUGUUGGGUUGGGGGCUUCUUCUCCGGGAAUGAGAAAGGCUCUUCCUUGUUAAGUGGGGUUGGAGUCUUGUAAUUUGGUGGAUUGUGGGAAGGAGGCUUGUGAAUUGGGGGUUUCAGGGCAAUAGAAGGAGUUGAAGUGGUGAAAACCACCACUCCGACAAGAAAAACUAGCACGUAAUUGGGAGACAUCUUUAGACUCUUAUGUUCUGGGAUGCUUCGAAACUAGUAGAAGUGAGUGGCUUUUUAUAGUGAUGGGACAACACAUGUCGCCAUGCACUUGGAUUUUUUUAAUGAAAUGUGUGGACUCGUCGAAUUUUGUAUGGUUUGGUUUUUGUUAUGUUUGUACAAUUUUAUAUAUGAGGAGGGGUCCAUUUAGGGUUCUAUUUGAGUUGAAAUAUUUGACAACUUUUACGUUCAUACCGGGUAGGGGACCUGUAGGAAAGCUAAAUUACACGGUUCACAACUCACAUGCGGUCAGUGACCUGGUACUCUAGCAUCACUGAUCGAUAUUAUAUUAGAGAUAAUGUUUUAACUUUAGAAACGACAAGACAAAUAGAAAAUAUAGCAAGUUGCUUUUGCUCGUUUUUCUUUUAAACAAGUUGGAGAAAACAAUUUUACUUUCUUUUCGAAAUAAGUUCGAACUAAAUGGCCGUCUAUAUUCGUGCAUAUAGCCGACUGUAUAUGCACAAAUAAUUUUCAAGUUUUCUCUUCCAUAAACUAGAAAUAUUGACUCAAAUAUUUGACGUUAAUGCUAUAAAAAUAUUGAGCUAAUGAUUUAGUAAAACAAACAAUCCUUUGUAAAGUUAUUCACACACAAAUUAUAUAUUAAUCCAUCGAAUUGUAGUAUAUAUCUCGAAUAUAAAAGAGAUUCACUUCAGCAAAUUCAGAGACUUAUACCAAGUUAACAGACUAUAGCGUAGACCAAAUAGUUGUAAGAAAUGAAACUCACUUGUGCAUCAAAUAAAUAUGGUACACAAGACAUUACUCUUUCUUUUUGUUCUAUUCCAACGAUAAUUAGUGCCGCCUUCAAUGGUUUAAAGAUAUGGCUUAUCAAGUUGUGAUAAGAUUGAGUGUGGUUUUAGGUUCUUUUUCACCUAGUGAUUCAUGAUGCUGGCUUAUUAUAUGCUAUCCAUAAUCACUUUAAGGAAAUAAAUUAUGGAAACUAAAUUCACUUUUGGAAAAGCUAGCAUGAUGAAAUUAAUAGGAUAAAAUCAUCGGUCCACAGAUUUUGCUUUUUGUACCAAGAUCUUGUGUAUCCGGUAGAAUGAUGGAAGAUAUUUUACCGACUAUAUAUUUUAAGGAAAACUAAUGAAAAAACUUAAAAAUUUUGAGUUUUAACGAUAAGGACAAAAUAAAGGGUAAAAUGAAUAGUAUCAUGGUUGACUUUUUAGUGUAAAAAUGUAGUUUUUCAUUAAAGUGAAUAAUACUGGAAGUUUUUUGUUAAAGUUCUAUGUAUUUUAUUUGUUUUAAGUUUUUUUGUUAAUUACUACUAAUCCCUAUAUCAGCGAGCCUGCAAUGGUCUUUCUCCUUUUUCCACUUAGGAUGAUGACAUGUAUUUAAUGUCGAUAUAAACGACACUAAAUCGCAAGUUGUUUUAGUGCAUAGUUUGCGUGGCUAGAUAGCAGCUAGCUAGUUAAGCAGAGGCUGGCAUGAUUUCACGUAAACAACAUAAAGCAAUUUCAAGAACCGAUGUCAAGAUUAUAAGAGUUGAGUGUAUUUGUGGUACUCUUAAGUGUUUUACAAGUUUUGUCAAGAGCAUUGAAAUCUUUUCUUUUCUGUUAUGUGAAUUGUGAAUGACUGAAGAGAUAAACUUUUAGUACCCAUUUGAAUGGAGGAAUUCCAAAUCUAUGGAUUUUUUUGAUAAAAUUAAAAGAUUAAAUUGGUUGUUUCAACUAUUACAAUCAUUAUAUGCGACUAUUUAAAUAAGUGAAGGAAGAAAACAAAUGAGUUUCAAAUAAUUCCUUGCAUAUUGUUAUUUCAAAUUCAUUUAAACGUACUACUUUGUGUGUAGUUGUAAUCUUAUUUGUCAAUUCCAAAACGUUUCUCUUAAACUUCUUCCAUGCGAAGAGAGAGCAUUUUAAUACUUCUCUUCAAUUCUUAAAAGGUUUCCACAACUCGAAGCCUCUGGGCCAGUCAAAAAAUGCAGAGAAGUUGAAGGUCAAAUGGUCCAUCUAGCUUCCGUGAUAUAGAUGCAACAUGAUCGAAAUUUCCUUUUGUUUGCUUUCAGGUCUAUAUGGUUGCGUUUGCAUGUGCUGCUGUGCAUGCACUUAUAUGUUGUCGGUGUAGUGACAUUGUGUGAAAGCAUGAAGGCAGUUGUAUGAGUCAUGUGGCUGCUUUUUCUACAGGAUCUGAAGAAAAUUCUCUCUGUCACCUCGCCAUGUAAGGUUACUAAUUUAUUUAUGCUAUAACAUUUAUGUACUUAUUCAAAAUUAUAUUCUCUAGGUCCCUAAUAUUCAUCAAUUAUGUUAUUCAUGUAGAUGGUUUAGUAGCACUUUGGGAUAGUGUCACACCACAAAGUUCACGAUGAAGAGAUUUUUUAUUUGACGUCACUUCACCUGGAGGUCACAAAUCUACUCAUUAGGUUGUUAAUGGAUACCUAUUAAGACUCAUUUAGUUUAAUUUCACCUUACAUUAUCGUCACCACUAUCAAUCUUACAUUUAUAUUAUAAUGAUAUCAAAUUAAACAGGUCUUAAUGGAUACCCGUUAACAAUCUAAUGAAUUGACUAGCAGCCUCUAACUUCACCAAGUAGCUAGAGUUAUCAUUACUUACAACUAUAACACAUACAUACUUAUUUAUUAUAUUAAUCUUAAGUUCCAAAUUAAUCAUUUAUCAUGUUCUUUAUACAGCCUACAAAAUUACAUGAAUUAGUAACAUAGUCACACUACAAAGUUUCUGAAGAUUCUCUUCUGCAAUUUUGUACCUCAGCCUUUCAACUUGUGGGACAUUCUGUUGACUCUUUGUAUAACUACCCUAGUCAGCGAGAUGAAGUAAAGCCAGACUUCUAUGCAUUUCACAACAUAAAGCAUAACAUAGUAUCAAGGCAUGCAUGUGGACACAAUUAAGUAUUCCGUUACAUUUUGCAAGUGGUUUUGUACUGGUCCUAGCAUAUAUGUUCACGAGCAGUAUAUAAAGUCGACAUUAUGAUGAGAUCCCUGGUUGAUCUCUGCGGCUCUGCCGACAUGUUCUUCACAGCUUAGGGUAUUGACAAAGAUAAAAUAUAGUUGUUUUUCUUUAUUUUUAUACCAGCACCAGUGUGGUGAAAUUGAGCUCAACACAUCCAAUGCAUAUUAAAUAUUUUUAACCAAUUAAGCUACGAAUUUCUUACAAUAUUAUUAUUAUAUAUUGUUAAAAUUUUAGAAAUGCGAGCUUAAUGGUUCAACACCAAUAUUAUUCUCAAGUUAACCAUUUGUAGCCUAAGAGGUGAAAGAUUUUUUCCUUAAGACCUCGGCGUACUUAGGAUAAAACUAUUGUACAUAAUUUGUAAUAUUUUGUCAAAUCUUCAUUGUGGGAUUUCCGCGCUACCUCAUGUGGAACCAUAUCUCCAAUCGGCCACACGUGAAGAGAACUUCAACAUUGGGAAUGGAAAGACAAGCACGUGAAUGUUGAAUAUAAGUCCCACAUUGGAGAAUUAACAAUAUAUAAGUAUAUGAGUUCACUCCGAAAAAUAAAGACGUCUUUGUAAUAAAACCCAACAACCACUAAUAGGUGAUUCAAUUAGGAUAAUAUUGGCGUGGUUAGGAGUGGGCCAGUGACUGGUCUCCUUGAUGAUCAGACAUUGUACCAAAGCAGGUUUGAUUAUGAGUCAUGUGGGUAUCAUGCUUGAGUUAUUGUGAUUAAUGUACCACCAUGCUUCCACACUUAAUCUCGAAUGUGGGAUCGGCUGCACUUGUGGCCCACUAUGUUUUGGUCACAUGAGAGGGGGCAUGUUGAAUAUAAGUCUCAAAUCGGGAGAUUGUAAUACCCCGUAUUUAAAAAAUUGGAGAACUUGAGUAUGUAAUUUUGGAUAUCUCCACUUUAGAUAUUUUUGUGGUAUCUUAUGUGGCAAUUUGCAAUCAUCAGAAACUCAUUAUUAUGGUGAUUAUUCACUACUCUAUAGUGAUGGAGUGGAAGUCUAUAUAGCAUAAGUGCAUGUGUCUAAGUGCAUGAGUUUGGCUUUAUUUUCUCACAAAGGCUAAGUAGAGUUUUGCCAACCAUUAGAGAAUAAAGAGGAGGGGUUAGUCACCACUCUAGAUAGGUUGAGGUGAAAGUUGGUAAUUAAUAGAAGCUAAUAAUUAGGGUGUGGAGGUGGGAAGCCUUUGGCUUAUACGUAUGGCUAAGUGUUGAGUUUGGUUUGCUAUUUUUUCCAAGUAGAAGUGAGUUGGCAAGUUGAGUUAAUGUAGAGAGAUUACUCACCCCUAAACAUUUGAGAGGUGUGAGUCUAUAUAGAGCCAUAGACUAGGUAUGUGUAUGUAUUGGCAUGCAUGUGGCAAUAUGUUGUUGUUUUAGAGUGCUUACUCACUAGCCUAGGAGAAUUUUAAUUAAUUGUCUAUAUUCUCUCUUCAAUGCUUCAAUCUAUCAUUCCAAAUUUUCUAAUGAGGUGAGAACGGGUGGGAUGCAUAUUCCUUAGAGAUGAACAUGGCCUUGGAUGCUUGUAUCCACCUUGCAUAAUAUUGAUUAGCUUCACACAUGUCUCUUUGCCAUUUGAACACAUAUUAGAGCUAAGGUUUUGCUUAACAUUUGUUGCCUUGUGAUUGGAACAAUUUCAUGGUGAUGAUUAGGCUUUAAGCCAUCCUCCCUUUCAUAUUACCCAAUUACCUUUCUUUUACUUAUUGUUAAGGCUUUAAGCCAUCUUUCAUUGUAUUUGUAUGACCCUCAUAUAUAGUGAAAUACAAUGAAAGCAAACACCAAUGGAUGUAGUCGAUUUGGUGAACCACUUAAAUCUUGUGUUGUUUACAUUUUGAGAUCAUUGUUAUGAAAGCACUCUCACUAAACCAUCAAAAAUAUCCAUUUACUUCCCUUGAGAAUAUUGUAAAAUAAGGGGGGAACAAAUCCCAGAGAAAUACAUGAAACCUUGCCCAACCAAUCUCCACCAAACUCCAUCUAUCAAAAGAAAGAUAUCCAAAAACUAGAAAUUCGUCCAGCCUAUUUAACAGACUAAAACACCAUCAUCCAUAGAUUAUAUCAUAAUACUUUCUUCAGGAGAGUUGUUUAUCUGUCUCUCUACCAUGAUGUAUCAAAAUGUCAGUAAAAUCCAACGGUGCGAUCUUCCAAUAUGUUGAAAUUACAAACUCAGUCUCUAAUCCCGCAGGAAACUGGACAGCCAAGUUAUGAGCACUAAAACCCCAUUUUUCGUAGCUCGGGUCGAAACACUUCCUUAACAAAAGUUAUUCCUUAUCAUCUCCUCUAUAACAUAUCCAAAAACCACGAUAAUCUAAUCUAUGUGAUGACUUAUAUUCCAGUUCGAACAGCUGACAGUUUCAGCUGUAUUAAAGAAGAAGAAGUAGAAGUGGUGGGCUAAAAUAAAAAAUAAAAGAUGAUGUUUAGAAAGGGAAAAGCUAGAAACAUGAUUCCAUGCCCUGUGGCCUUUGAGACAUAUAUUUCACUCUAAAAAUUAUUUUCUCUAACAUGGAUGUCUAUUCUUUCUAAUAAAAACAGGUUGCUUGACCAAGAUGGAUGAGACGUUGGAAAAACAUAUAUUGAGUGAGCAACAUUAUAUAUGAUGGAUUAUAAAUUAUUACUUUGUUAUUAAUAUUAUGAUUAUAUUAUUCUUGUUACUAAUCAAUUUGAUUUAUGUUGAAGCUUGUAGGCUUGUAAGAUAAAGUGUGAGUAUUGAUAUCUAUGUGAACAUGACAUAUACAUAUGCAUUGCAAAGCAAGAAAAAGAGUUGUGUUGAGUUUGUAAGGUGUUUGAGUUGUGAGGAUAUUCAAGGGCUGAAGUUUGACUUGAAUAAUAAUGAACCUUGUAUAUGUUAGGCGUAGGGUGCAAGGCUUGAGUAUACAAAUUGGUUGAUUAUAAAAUAAUGAAAUCUUGUAUAUGUCAGGCAUAGGGUGCAGGGCUUGAAUAUACAAUUGGGCGUCAAGGGAAGUGCAUGUUUAAUAAAGUGGAAAUUGAGAGUUUAAUUACAAAAAUUGGGUUUAAGUGAUGAACGGGAGUUAACUAAUAUUCUAACGUACUCGGAGCCAAGUGGUAUAAGCAUGGUAUGGGACGUGCAUGCUUAGGUGCCUUAGGUAUGUGUUGACGGGAUUAGAAGGGAGUAAGUACAUUCAUCCAUCUCAUUUGCAUAUAUUUUAUGUAUUCAAAAGAAUUGUUACAAUUUAAUUAUUAUUUUGUUAGUAGUUUUUGUUGUGAAUUAGUUUGUGCACUAUAGUUAUUCCGAUGCGUAUUAUAAAAAAAAUUUGUAUGUAAGAUUUUGUUGAUGUAUGGUGUAAUUGUUAUAAUUUUUAUUUUCCACCAUAUCUUGGUUGUAGAAUUUAUUCCUAUAGUUAAGAUAUGGCUCACACCCUAGCUCGUGAAUAGUCUUUAUUCGCAGGUCGGGGUGUGACAAAGAUUAAGAAAAUAAGGUAGAAUAAGUGUAUGAAUUCACUCUUAAAAAUAUCACGGCCUUUUGUGAUAAACCCAAUACUUAGUAAUAGGUGAUUAAGAUGAGACAAUGUUGUGAAAAACUCAUUGGCGCCAAGUGCUAUAUGAAAUAUGAAUAUUAAGUAAUAAUAGUAUGGCACUUCGAAUUUGAUAUGAGAAAAUUUUUUUAACCCUUAAUUUAUGUAUCAAAAGAGUAGUGUGAGAUAAAAGGUUCUUUUGAUUUUAUCCCAUCUAUCAGGAGGCCUGUUUCAAAGUAAUAAAUUUUUUCGCACCAGGAGGCUCUUAAAAAUAUUUAUGUUAUGAAAGAACAUGAAAAUAAAAAAUAAACAAAUUCUUAUUUUCUUAAAAUCUGCUAUAUUUAUUUGAUAUUUAAGUAAGGUAAAAAUUCCAGAUGUACCCGUUCAAUUAUAUAUUGUAACAAAGGAAUACCUUUUUAUGUGAAAAAUGCCUGUAUCAAUAAUUAUGAUUUUAUGUAUGGACAAUUCCUUAAUAUUUUGUUCAUUUGCAACUAUAUUUUCUUUGUGCGGCAGUAAAACAAAUAUACUUUUUUGGAGAGAGAUACUAUUUCACUAAUCGAGUUACAAGUGUCCAACAUAUUCAUACCUAAUGAUUUGCCACAAAAUGGUGACGAACAGAUAACUUGUACAAAUCUUACAUUUUCCAAUUCGAUCUGAUCUAUUCAUUUGUAGAGCUAUUUACUUGAUUGCGGACAUAUAUGGUACAUUCCUAACAGAGGGAUAAAUAGUCAAUUUUGAAAAAACUUAUUGUCAACCUCUUUUUAGAUAUGAAUCUGUCUGAUUCAGAAGGAAAGAACUUACAUCAGUAUCUCAAUUUCAAUUCAAACAUGGGUUUGAUUCACAAAUUCAUGUUCUAAGAAAUAUUUAUCAUCUGAAAAGAGGAAAAACUGGGUCUUUGUCUAAAGAAAUGCCUUGAGAAAUGGCAGAUGUAUAGAACCUUUCAACGAGAUUGUAUUUUUUCAAACUCUCAAAAUGGAAUAUAACACAACAUAUAUGUCAAGGUUUCAUACUUCGACAGGAUACAAACAUCUAAAAUUUGAUAUUUUUGGAAUCUUUUUUAGACCCGUUGCCAAUACUAAGUAACAGCCAAAAAAAUUGUAUCAAAUUUUUAUGAUAUUAUGCAUGGAUCAGAUAUAUCAUGGCAAAUUCUUCUAUAUGAAGAAAUGAUUCAUCAAAAAUAAUGAGUCACCCUUGAUAUCGACACAUCUGGGAUCACCAAAUAUCUGAGAGUUCCUCUAUUCAAUCAUUUUCCUUAUUGCUGCUCGAUAUCUUGUUUGUACACAUCUAUAAUGAGUUACAGAUAGAGUUCAAAAAGUACUAACAUUCUUUUUGAACAAGAGACACAGUAUGGACAAAUAAAAAAAAACAAGAGGAACAAAAACGGAAUUUUUUUCAUAUAUACUUUUUAUACAUAACAUAUAUAAAGGGUGUAUCUCCGACAUUUAGAUGAAUAAAUGUGUAUCAUGAUUUACUGAAUAUGUACGUCGACUUCAUAUCAAUUAAUUUUUAGAAAAUAUUCAUAUAAAUUACUGAUGUGCCUGGAACUGAAAUUGUGUAAAAUUGCCUCUUUCACUAAUGAAUCAUAAUUACAGUACUGAAAGGACAAAUAUAGCAUUUGCUAUGUACAAAAGAACUCCUAACAACCUUAUAUAAAUUACACACAAUUGUAAGAAGGACAGAGAUCCUAGCUGGAUCUCCCCCACCAAGUCCUAAGGAUCUGGAGAUCUGGACCCUUGAAAUUUGAUCAAAUGGCUACAAUUAUUAUUACUUUUAGAAGGCCCCCUGUUUGUAGUUGUUGAAUCAAAUUUCAAUGAUCCGGAUUUCCAAAUCCUUAGGAUUUGGUGGGGUGAGAUCCGGCUGGGAUCUUUGUCCUUUUAAGAAAUCUACUUGCUGACUAGACUAGAUAAUAACAAAUUAUGAUGACUAGGCAUUUUCAUCUCUAGUGCUAAAUUUUAGCACGGCAGGGUUAGGGAAAAAAAGGAGGAAAAGGGGGAAAAGUACAACAAAAAUAAUAAAACCUUAUAUCAUCAAGUGGGAUCGGUUAUAUGAAUCCUAGAACGUUAUUGCGCUCGCAUGUCUUUUGUUAGAUCCAAGUAUUCCAAAUCUUUUCUUACAUUCUCUUUCCAAGUAUUCCUAGAUCCUCCUCAACAUUUUAGCAUGCUAUUCAUAAUGCUAUAAAAUGUCAAAAUGCCACAUUGGUUGAAAGGGUGAGUAAGAAAAGGGAUGGGUGGGCCUAAAUAAAAUGAAAUGACACUCCUGCACAGCAGCAGUAGAAACCAAAAAACCGACACCAGGCUGAGCAGCCAUUAAUUCCGAUAGGACCAGAGGGGUGGAACCACGCUCUUGGGCUUGAUUUCCGGCGAGGGGAGGGGCCCUGUCCCUCUGUAGCUUCGCCAUUGUGGGUGGCAUGUGUAGCAUUAUAACAACACAAAGGGAAUAAUUUCUACUCGAUCCUUUCUUCUUCUGCGCACGCUGUUUUUUUUUUUCUCUUAAUUCUUUCUUUGACUUGAUCAAUCCAAAUGUCCAAAAUAAAUAUGAAUGCGGAGAGGCAAAAAAAAGUGUGAAAAUCACUCAGACAAGAAACAUCCGUUAUCACUUCUUGAGAGUCAGUCUCCAUCGAGUCCCCUUUGAUUCUGUAAUUUAAUUCACAACAAUUGUGCAUUGCACCAAUGUACUGGUAUUUUCCCAAUGCACCAAUGCAGAACAUCUUAAAACGACUGCCUUCUUGAUUUCAGGUAUCGAAUUUGGAGCGCGCACAGACCAACUUACACAAUCUAGUGGUGGUACCUCAUAGCUUAGGGGCAGGAGCUGUGACUUUACGCAAGGCAACUGUUGUCUUUGAACCAGAUGAGCGCCCCAGGUGCUUGCAGAUAAAGUCCCCAGCCAACAUGAGCUUUUUAAGAUCUACAUGGGUCUUCAGUCCAAGUCCAUUAAGCAUGUACACAACAUCUUCCGUGGCAACAUUUCCGGAAGCUCCCUCCUUUAGCAUACGGACAACCCCCAAGACCUGAUACUGAUGAAUCCACUGUGAGGAUUCCUAUCUGCCAAGAUGAAAAUGUCAUUCCAGUUCGAUUAUCCUUUUUUCUUAAUAUAUGCAGUUCUAUUAUCCUUAAACAUUAAGAUCAGUCAGAAUUCUAGAAGUAUGGUCCGCUAAAUCAUGUAGUCACAAGAAAGGGAAUCAACUUGUGUUGGAGUGGCCCUAAAAACCUAUUGUCUCAAGUUUUAAUUUAUACUUUGGAUAGUGCACCUUUUUCACGAGCUCCAUUUGCUUAUUUUGAUGUCCAUCACGCUCUACUGUGACAAGCUCAGCACUAUGUAGAUGACUUCCAAUCCAAUACUGCAUGUUCGUACCAAUUUCAUUGAGCUUGUUAGUAUGCACGUAUCCACAAGCACUGCUAGCACUCCAAAGUAUUCCUCUCAGACCAUUGAGUAGGCAAAGGCGUAUUGAGUACCCUCCUUUACUUGUCCCUCGAUAAGUGCCAAAUGUACUUUGGCUUCGUUUUCGUACUUGCCUUUUACUUUUUUAAAUAAUUAUUAUGGAGGCCUUUCAAUCAUGAAUUGUUUAUUGAUAGUGGUAAUUGGGUCGAAAAUCCAAGACAAAAACAAUCGUUUGAAGACUUAUACUUUGAUUUUGACUGAUCUAAUCAUGUCAAAAAUUGCAACUACCUACAUUUGGUUUAAUUUUCCUGCUAAAUUCAAGAGCAGUGUGGAUUACCUGGAGUGACGCUAGUAUGUUUGAAAUAGCUUGCCCAUACGUGUCAUGAAAAUGGACAGCAAGCUUCAGUGGGGACCACACCAACAACAGCCUCAAGCAUUGGAAUGACACUAUCUAGAGUGGAAAAAAAAAAAGAAUUUUAACGAAAAAUCUACGAUACUGUUUAAUUUAACGAAAAAUCAUAUUUUUAUACUAAAAAGUCAAACUUGAUAACAAACAAACAAAAUACACUACCCAAUCCUCUUCCUCCGCAUCAUUAAGAUAACAACGCAAACUACCAUCACAAUCACUGGACUUAAAAAGACAGGGUCUGAAGUUUUUACUGUUAGGAACUUAUGACAUCUUUUGGGGAUGUUUUAUUUUAUAUUUUCACAGCGUCAGUGUUUAUCCCAGAAAGCAUAAGCCUUGAGGAAUACACCACAGCCAAAUAGUGUCUACUAUAUGGGAUAAACGCUAAACAAAUGAGACUAGUCAAAAUAAGUGAAUGGCACACUACAAGCCGAGCCUCAUGCUGCACAUUUCUGUAACUUUUCGGUCUUGAACUUCUAGUUUGGCUUUCCAACUUCUUUGUUUACCCAAAUGAAAUUAGCCCAAGCAAAAUUUAACUUUCCCAAAGUCAAAACACGCAAUCACUGGCCGGCAAACCCACAUCAUAGCAUGAAAGCUUAGAAAGUUUCUUUUUUCCUCCCAUUUUGAUGAAUACGCUAAAAGCCUAAUAGAGAAUUUAGGAUGGCAGAAGGAAGUAGUAUAAGUUCAACAAGAGCCAAGGCAUGAGCCAACUAAAUCAACAAGAAGAAAGGCGGACAAAAUUACCUGGAGUACCAACACCAAUUGUAUCACCAAGAGAAAUUUCUGAGCAACCCAUGUCAUAAAGUUCUUUCGCCACAUAUGCUACUUGUGAUGGGGAUAUCUUUCCUUCCACUGGACACCCCACAACACACGAUAUGUAUCUAAAAGGAUUAGAAAGGUAUAAUAUUGGAAUACUGCUCAGAAAAACAAUAGAAAUUAAAUAGUUCCAUAUAAAAAUAUUAUUUAGAAAGAAAGUAAUUUAGUUCCACUGGGAGUGAGAAGAACCCAUACCACCCUCCCCGACCCCCAAAGCGCAGAAAACAAAAAGUAGUUAGAAAAUAUACCCACAAAGAGGAAUUAAAAGCUUUCUGGCAGCAAUAGCAACAUCACUAUGACAAACGAGACUAUCUUCAAUACUGCAGUUUAUAUUUGAUUUUGAAAAAGAUUGAGAAGCCGAGGCAAAUAUGCCAACUUCUUUUGCACCAGAAGCAAUAGCUGCCAUUUCAUCGGAUGAGGAUCCUCUCCGGAUUCUCUUUGUGAGGAUCUCGGAGAUCCUCCAAUUAUGUUUGUUUAUCGUAUAUUGUGAGACUAGAAGUACUGUUUAUAUUUAAUUUUAAAUAAAAAAAAUUAAAAUGAUUUAUGACCGUACGAUAUACGAUGAACGGACACAAUUGAAGGAUCGCAGGGUUUCUCACAAAAAGGAUCCUCAUUCGUCUCUCUCUUCUUCAAAUCUUUUCUUCUCCCAUUUUAGUGCAGUUUAGAGUGGAAAUGUCAUUUGCAAAACUGCAAAGGGUUUGGUCUAAUGAAAAGUGAGCAAAAGUUUGGAAUUUCUAACUCGAAUUUGAGCUCUCACAAAUGCAUUUUUUGAGCAACCGGCCCCUAUUUUGGUGUAUUGUUUGAACCGAGGCCAAAAGUUCAAUAGCCUUAUUAUUCUUGCAUUAAGUUCCCUGAUUUAGUGAAUCAUGAGAAAAAUAAUAUUGGAUGAGACUAUUCAAAACCCUAGAAUACAGAAGUUGGCCUCAUCACCUUGUCCUUCUUGUACGUUGGAUUAUAUAGUCAUUCAUUUUACGGGGCAAGAGAUUUGACAUUUAUGGAUUAAUCAACUGCGCUUCUAAGUUAGGUUGGACGAACGCACCGAAAUCCCAAAGUGUCAGAGUGUCGGACACUCCGACACAGGUUGAACAUGAUCAAGACACUGGUCAAGGGGCGGGCAUUUUUAUAAAUUUGAAAAAUAUUUAGAGUCAGUUUUGGAAACAUAAAAACAUUGAAAGAUUUGGGGCAAUUUGGAAAUACAAAAACUAAAGCCUAAAAGCAACCCGUCCUAACCCAACUUCAAUCUCUUAUAUGCGCCUCCUUCCACUUCUCUUCUUCCCCUCUUCGCAACCGAUGCAGCCUCUUCUCUACGGCCUUCACUCUAGUUGCAUUCUAUUUUAAUUGGUUGUUUAAUUUGUUAUUGAGCAUAAACAUAUCUCUUCUUGUUUUUUUUUUUCUUUUUUAAAAGGAACAACUGGUUACAAGUCACGGUUAUACAUAUUUUUUAGAAGCCGAAAAGACUUACAUAGUCAUUUCAGCUUCCCUCUAGCUUCUUGUUUUAAUUAUUAUACUUGUUUUGUUUUAAUUAUUAUACUUGUAUUGUUUUAAUUAUUAUGUUUUGUGUUAUUUUAGUUAUUAUGUAUAAUGAACGAAUUUGAUAAACACAGUUAUUUUGUUAUAUUAUAAUCCACUAUUAUUUUUAAUAUAUGCAAUAUUUACUAUAAAUUUAUUAUAUUUUAAACAAUGUUUCCAUGUCCUAUUUUUUAAGAUUUUUCAUGUUCUUGUCGCCUGUAUUCGUGUCCAUAUCCGUGCAUCCUUGUAAUAGUGUAGGAUAACUAUUUUGGAGUGGGAAAUGUUUUGCCACUCUAUCCCUUAUCAAACUUUAACUUGAAUUUUAACCAUUGCUUGUUAUUGACUAACAUUUUGGGAAUUCCAACUGGAUCAUCAGCUUCCAGACUCUGUAACCCUCCACCUCCCUAAAGGAAGAAAUGGCAAACAAGUGAGUUCGAGUAUGUAGUGCAGCUACAUCAACACUUGAGCACGACAAACGUUACAUAAGAUCAACCUUUCCACCGUACGUCAGCUACAUCAUGCCUGCCUCCUUUCUUACUUCAAACAUUCAUUCAUCGUAUCCUUACUUGUUGUGGCCAGUCGACGGAAUUUGGAAAUAUAGCAUGCUUAGUUUGCGUCAAUUUCAAUAGGGAUUCAACACAAUCCAAUCCAUCAUGUUAAAUUCAGAAAAUUUGGACCCCAAAUAGAAUUAUAACUACCUUUUACAUUUGCUAUAAUUAUAACAAAAAAUUGAUAUAAAAGUACUAAUAUAACAUUAAAGGUUUUCUACAAGAACCAAAAAGCAAAAUUAAAACGAACAUCGGGUGUCUAGAUCUUAGUGACACUUAUAAGCUUCUUGUUGUUAGUAAAAGGAAGGCAUUUUUCUGGUGUGGUUGCAGAAAAAUGGAUUGGGAAGAACUCUUCGAAAGUUGGAGAAGAUUUGAAGGUCUUGCUCUCACAGUUAUCUGGUACUCGAGGGCUUGAGCAAUCACCAAGCGCUUUGUAUGAGGAGUUGGAGGAAGAAAGAAAUGCUUCUACAAUCGCUUCAGAUCAAACAAUGGCCAUGAUUACAAGACUGCAAGAGAAGAAGGCAGUGCUCCAUAUGGAAGCACUCCAGCAAUUAAGGGCUGAUUUGGUAUUGAUGUGCUUUGAAAAAAAAAACUGUUUCUGCUGUGCUGUGAGAAUAAGCAGCUGUGAAAUAAAACUGUAGAGUAUUUGGUAAACUUUUUUGUAAAAAUGCAUUUGAAAAAAAAAACAGUAGUAUAGUAUUUGGUAAAUUUUUAUGUAAAACAGAUGUGAAAAAAAUUCGGUUUUUCAAAGCUGAGUUUUGCAGCUUCUUGUUUUUGGCUUUUUUUCAUCAAAAACUGUGAAAAAAAAUCUAAAGCUGAAUGUUUAUCAAACACAAAAUAGCUCCCAACUUUUUUUUAUACCAAUUUUUUUCAGAAUCACCUUACUACCAAACCAGGCCUAAGAAUGAUGGAAGAGCAAGGCGAGUACGAUAAUGAACCGCUGCGAAAGAUAGACAACCUUCUUGUCGAGAAGAAGGAAAUACAAGAUUUAGAAGCAGAGGCUGAGGGCACUCCAUGCAUACUGAGGGUUUCUUGAACACACGAUUAACCCGAUUCUCGUUUCUCUUCAUACUUCCUUCCUCCACUCAUCUUCAUCCUUCAUUUUUUAUUUUGUCUUCAUGUUGCACUCCAUGGCUAAUGAAAAAAAAAAUGAAAACUAACAAAAAGUCCAAAAAAACUUCCCUUUUAAUAAAAAGUCAUUUUUAAAGGUAUAGUGAAUAGAAUCAGGGAAAGGUAUAAAUCUGGUUUUUCGUUAAAAGUGAACAGUACUGUUUUGUUAAAACUGUAAACAGUAAACUAAAAAAUGCACAUGGAAACCUAAUAGUAAGCCAACAAAAAUGAAUUCAGCCGUACAUUCUAUUAUUCUUGAAUCUUCAACUUGCCAGGGGUGGUACAAUAUAUAUUUGUUGUACGUUUGUUUAUUUCUCUACUCUUUUUUGUUCCACAUGAAAAUAAAUCUACAUGAAAAUUCAGAGGGAAGAGAAAAUAGGAACACCCGGCAAGGUGGCUCCUGCAUCAACAAUAUAAAUGUUGCCAGAGACAUAUUCAGAAGAGUCAUGUACCAAAUAUCGAACUAGCGAUGUCAAUGCUGGAUCUGAAGUGCCAAAUGUUCUUAAAGGGGCAGUUUUCAUAGCCACAUUGUGCAGCCAGUCUUUUUCCAUUAGACGCUCCGUAAUUUCCGAUCUGAAAAGUCCAGGUGAUAUUGCAUUCACUCUGAUUUUGUGUACCCCCAGCUCCAUAGCCAUAGUCUGGUUAACAUAACAAGAUUCAGUAUAGUACCAUAGAAGCUUUCACCUACACUACCAAGUGCAGAGAACUACAGAACAUAUUCCUUAAGAGAAUACUCAUAAUCAAAUAUAGAUAAUGAAACUUAUGAGAGAAGAAGAGAAGAAGAAAAGAAUAAGCAAAGGUAGUGUCGGUGACAUGACAAAGUUGAGGAUAAAAUCUUAAAAUGGCAACUGAUAAACCAGCAGUUAAAAUGUAAAACUUCGUUUGAAGUUAGAUCAUCAAUUCAUAUGUCAUUCCCAGAAAUCCUCCGGUGCAACAAAAAGCAAAAUGUGGUUGAGUGCAAUAACACGUUGGUCAAAACAGUCUGUUGGUUAUACGACAAUAGAGCCGCUCAGACCAUGAGCUUGUGAUAACCACAGCCUUGCGUCAACACACUUUAUUGACAGAUGAUAACAGCACAUGAAGAUGACAAGCAUUUUGGCAAUCAGACUUAGAACUAACGAACUAAAGAGACCAAGAAUCAAAACCGGCUUAUAAUGGGGGUGAUAGAAUUUGGGUCAACGGGCCGAGGGCCCCACUCCAACAACAUUGAUAUUGUCCCCAACUUGGUAAUUACCACCUGUCCAAUCCAUCAGGUGUAGGGUUUUAUCACAAAAGGUCUCGGUACUAGUUAGAGUGGGGGUAAUCAUAUUUAAACUCUUUUCUUUCUUCUUUCUCUCACCUAUGUGGGAUAGCCAACAGGGGCAUAAGAGAAAGUACACAGUAUAGCCCACUAGCAAUAUUCCUCUACUAGACUAAAAAAGAACUGAAAUACUCCUAGGCUGAUUUAAGUCCCUAAGUCUAUCUUUCCCAGGAAACUGUUAUUGGCACUCCAAAAAAGUCAUCUCGUACAAUUUCUGCCUUAUGUUUCCCAGGAGGCAGGCAUCCCUUCAAGUUCUUAUAUUUCAUUUAAAGGCCAAAAGGAACAAAAACAUAAUUCCUUUUCCUUACGCAAUUAAUAUGAUUUUCCUGAUUAGCAUGUUAAAGAUAAUACCUUUGUUAAGGUGUUUACACCAGCCUUUGAACAAUUGUAUGCUGUAGCUCCAGGCAAAUAUCCACGAUUAAGACCAGCAAUGGAAGAUAUAUUGACGAUUGACCCUCCCUGAUCAGCAUCUCGCAUGCGUAUAGCAACAAACUUUGAUACCAACCAGGAACCCGUUAAAUUUGUCCUGAAAACAUGAUUCCAUUCCUCCUCAGACAGGUCCAAUGCAGAACUCACAUUACCUAAGAAACACAGAUGGUAGUAAGCAUUUAUGAUACACCAACACAGACCUAUAGACCAACUAGUUGCGUGUGCCUGUGAGGUCAACAAUUGGUGAUUGGUACAAGACAGGAAUCAGGAUUGGGACUGAGUCUAGUCCAGUCCGAAUCCGAUAGUCCCACCCGCACCCCCUGUGGAGGUAAGAGGUAGAGAGCACAUGAUGAUGUUGUAUACAAUACUUGGGACAGUAGUCCAAUUCAAUAGUCGAGUAUCGUCAUUGUUAAGUUCAUGAACUGAAAGAACAGUCAAAUAAGUAAUUUGCAUUACCAAACAUAUAAUUGUAAAACAAAGGUAUAUUUGUUAAUUCCCCCCUCCCCUAACUAACUUGUAUAGAGCUGCAAAUUUCUUCCUCAACUUUAAUUUUUGACAAUUACCCUCCUGAAAUUCUCUAAUUAGCCAAUUUUCUCUUUGAAUUUUAAUGCCAAUUAGCCCAUGAACUUUUAUAAAUAGUCAAUUUCUCUAGAUUUUAAAAAAUUCUCAUCCAAUUUUUCAUCUAUUUUGAUCACGUGUAGAAGACGUGACAACUCUAUGAGAGCAAAAAGAAUGGAAAACUAACAACAACAACAACAACAAAAUUUUUUCCCACUAAGUGAGGUCGGCUAUAUAAAUCCUAGAACGUCAUUGCGCUGGGUUCUAUGUCAUGUACUCCAUUAGAUCCAAGUACUCUAAGUCUUUUCUUAGGUCUCUUCCAAAGUUUUCCUAGAUCUUCCUCUACCCCUCAGCUAGAUGAAUGAAAAUUUUAAAAUCUAACCCUAAGCGAAAUUGGCUAUUUAUAAAAUUAGAAAGGGCUAAAGUUAAAUUCAGAAAGAAAUUUGCUAAUUACAAAAGCUUAAGAAGUAAUCAGGAAUAAAUUUGAGGACAAUCCGACAAAUACCUCUAAAACAAAUAAUAUAAAAGGCAGAAAGCCAGCCAAACCAACCUCUACCGGCAUUGUUAACAAGGGCAUCGAUGAGCCCAAACGCGUCCCAAGCCUUGUUCACAGACUUCUCGAUAGCUGGGCCAUCGGCGCUGACAUCCAGCUCCACGGCCACAGCCCUCGGGCCUCCACCAGUCCCACUAUCAGCAACAGAAGAUGAUGAAGAAGGAGCGGUGAUGGAGAGCUGGUUGAUUUGAUCGCACACGGACUGAAGGCGGUCGAUGCGGCGAGCGGCGGCUACGAUUCUGCAGCCGGCUUUAGCUAAGUCUAAGCACAACUCGCGGCCGAGGCCAGAGGAAGCGCCGGUAACCAUGACGACUUUGCCGUGGAGGUGGCUCCAGGGCUCCAGGUUGUCCGACAAUCGAUGAGGAUUCUCCAUGUUUGAUAAUCUGUACUCAACUAUGAGCUAUGAAUUAUAUAGAACAAGGAAGAAGAGACUUACAUGUGAAUGUGUGAUACUGCGAAAUCUUGACCGUUGGUGGCUUCGAUAUGGACGGUCAUGAUUUGGGGUGAUAUAUUUGUAGUUGCUGGACGAAAGCAUGUUUGGUGAGGUAGUCGGCUUGACUUGACCCACUUCGAUUAUAGGAACGGAAAGAGAUGAUAUAUUUGCAGUUGCUGGACAAAAGCACGUUUGGUGGGGUAGUCGGCUUGACUUACCCACUUUGAUGAUAGAAACUGAAAGAGAUCCGUCCGGAUCUCUUUCGCCAAGCUUACCAGAUCAAGUGAUCCAAAAUUUUGAAUUUUCAUCUAAUAGUAAAAAAUUAUUAUAGUUUUUAAGGGAUCAAAAUAGGUGGAUCGUUGAGAAAAAUAAUAUUGGAUGAGAUUAUUCAAAACCCUAUAAUAUAGAAGUUGGCCUCAUCAUCUAGUCCUUCUUGUACGUCGGAUUAUAUUGUCAUUCCUUUUACGGGGCAAGAGAUUUGACAUUUAUGGAUUAAUCAACUACGCUUCUAAACUAGGUUGGACAAACACUCCGAAACCCAAAGCGUCGGAGUGUCGAACAUUCUGACACGCCGACGCGCCUCCAACACAAGUUGAACAUGGUCAAGACACUGGUCAAGGGGCAGGGGCAUUUUUAUAAAUUGAAAAAUAUUUUGAGUCAGUUUUGAAAACAUAAAAACAUUGAAAGAUUUGGGGCAAUUUGGAAAUACAAAAACUAAAGCCUAAAGCCAACCCGUCCUAACCCAACUUCAAUCUCUUAUAUGCGCCUCCUUUCACUUCUCUUCUUCCUCUCUUCGCAACCGAUGCAGCCUCUUCUCUACGGCCUCCACUCCAGUUGCAUUCUAUUUUAGUUGGUUGUUUAAUUUGUUAUUGAGCAUAAAUAUAUAUCUCUUCUUGUUUUUUUUUUUAAAGGGAACAAUUAGUGACAAGUCACGGUUAUACACGUCUUUCGGGAGCCGAAAAGACUCACAUAGUCAUUUCAGCUUCUUCUUGUUUUAAUUAUUAUACUUGUUUUGUUUUAAUUAUUAUACUUGUAUUGUUUUAAUUAUUAUGUUUUGUGUUAUUUUAGUUAUUAUGUAUAAUGAAUGAAUUUGAUAAACACGAUUAUUUUGUUAUAUUAUAAUCCACUAUUAUUUUUAAUAUAUGCAAUAUUUACUAUAAAUUUAGGGGUGUGAUAUCUACACAUCCCUUUUUACUUUUCCCACACAUUUUUUGUUUUCUGUCAUCGGAUGUGAUAAUUGAAGAAAAUCAACGGACAUAAAUUAAUAAGGAGUGUGUGAGAAGUAAAAAGGGGUGUGCCACACACCCCUAAAUUUAUUAUAUUUUAAACAAUGUGUCCAUGUCCUAUUUUUUAAGAUUUGCCAUGUUCCUGUCGCAGUGUCGUUGUAUCCGUGUCCAUAUCCGUGCAACCUUGUAAUAGUGUAGGAUAACUAUUUUGGAGUGGGAAAUGUUUUGCCACUUUAUCCCUUUCAAACUUAAACUUGAAUUUUAACCAUUGCUUGUUAUUGACUAACAUUUUGGGAAUUCCAACUGGAUCAUCAGCUUCUAGACUCUGUAAGCCUCCACCUCCCCAAAGGAAGAAAUGGCAAACAAGUGAGUUCGAGUAUGUAGUGCAGCUACAUCAACACUUGAGCACAACAAACGUUACAUAAGAUCAACCUUUCCACCGUACGUCAGCUACAUCAUGCCUGCCUCUUUUCUUUCUUCAAACAUUGAUUCAUCGUAUCCUUACUUCUUGUGGCCAGUCGACGGGAUUUGGAAAUAUAGCAUGCUUAGUUUGCGUCAAUUUCAAUAGAGAUUCAACACAAUCCAAUCCAUCAUGUUAAAUUCAGAUAAUUUGGACCCCAAAUAGAAUUAUAACUAAAGGAAAUCUGAAGGCAAAGGUAUAGCAGGUUGAUGAAUUGUAUAAGCUCAACUCAAUGUCGAGUGAGUAUUCAUUCACUUCUUUAUAUAGAGUUACAAAAGAUAAGGUUGUUACACUUGAUAAACAUUUGAAUCAGAAAAAUAAAUACAAACAGGUUGAAUCAGAUACAAACUGACACGCCCCGACCCUGAUAUUCCCCGAAUACCAGGACCGACACGUGCUGGCCGACACCCGGGGGUGACGAAAGCCAUUAAUUGAUACAAAAGCUAAGAAUAAGAAAUAAAUACAGGUUAUGAAUUUAAAAACAAUGAAUUAACAAUUUAGGAACGUGUUCAGAGCAUACAACUAAACCUAGUCACUAACAAGAAUUAAGAUAAGAUUAAAUGAACAAAGGAGUGGGUCCUACCCCGAGAGGACUCGAAGAUGCCGCUGCGGAAGUACCUUAAUGCCAGGAUUCUAUGCCUCGUUUCUAAGACCUGAAUGGGGGCGCAAAACAAGGGUGAGUGGACCAAGUUUAUAUACAUACAUAGUACGAAAACAGUUAUGAACAUACUAACCCCCACAGUUUAAUAAUGAAAACUACUAGAAUAAUAAGUGAUAAGCUUUUCAGAAACCUUUAGCAUGCCAUAAAACAAUUCAUAUAUCCAUCUGCAAAUCAAUCUCAGAAAAUCAUAUCAGAAAUUAUCUCAGCAAUCAUGUCAGGAAGCAUAACACAAGUUGUGCUGCUAGUGAGUGCACUGAAUAACAAUACUCCCGGCCCAAUGCCUGCACCUCAGUCUCUGUGCCCGUAGCCAGAGAUAUCUCCCUCCCGGCCCAAUGCCUGUCUCCGUGUCCCUCAGCCUUUCGCUAGGGAUUAUUUCUCCCGGCCCCAAUGCCAACACCAGAUCCUCGCCCCAGGCGGCAUAGUGUUCACUAGGUACGCACAAAACAUAAUUCAUCUCUAAAAUACAACUUCGUAGCAUAAAUUCAUCGAUCCUCUAUACUACGAAGAGGUGUUCGAAAGUCAUUUGAAACACAUUCUUAGCAUCCUAUCGUCAUCGAUCAGAUAGUCUACUAGAAUGAGGGUUCUAUAGAAAAUACAAUAUAAUGAAAAUAAUUCAAAACAUAUAUAUAAUCACGUAUAAUCAAAUCAUCAUGCUUCCUGUAAAGUAUUUCUCAAAUCAAUAAUUCUGCAAGGCAUGCUAUUAAAUUAUGCAUUUCUAUCAAUAAAACAUGCAAUUUUCGAAGGUGGUCCACUCACAGAUACUCCGAAGCAGCAGAAUUGUGUGCAAAAAGAUUAAGGAAGUCUCCACUAGCAACUUCACCUAAGCACGAAAAUGUACAAUUUAAUAAACUACCCAAAAGAUAGAAUUUUAGGAAAUGGAAAUGGGUUUUGGGUUUGGGUAGGUUAGGAACAAGAGGGAGUUUUAGGCUUAAGCCUAAACCCACCCUUAUACACACACGGCACACACACCACACAUUCACACACAUACCUACACCACACAUACUCCCAGAGCUGCACCGCACAACGCACACACUGUACACUUCAUAUAGUACACAAACAUACACAACACACACGUGCACCAUACACCAACAUGCCAAACACACCCACAGACAGCAUGCACAUAUAUAUAUAUAUAUAUAUAUAUACAAAUAUACACACAGAGGCAACAUGCAUAUAUAUAUAUAUAUAGAUACAUACAUAUAAACACACACGCAUGCACAGCAUGCAUAUAUAUAUAUAAGCACACACACGCACAGCAAGCAUACUUACACACACACACACACACGGUUCACGCACACACACUUGCACAACGUACACACUGCACAAACACACACUCACGAACUCGCCGGAGUUCGUCGUCGGAACCGGACAUGCAUGCACAAGGGAUGGUAAGAGUUAGGGCUUGAAUAAGGGGUUCUAAAACUUCACAAAUAUACCUAAGAACUCACCUGGACGCACUGCAGCAGGUUUUGGGAAGAGAUGGACCUCGAACUCGUCGGAGUUCGUCGUCGGAGCUAGAUUAUUAGCACAGAGAAAAACUGAGAUCAAAACCCUUGAGUUUUGUCAUAAACUCAUCAUGCACAACCCAGAAAUUUGAAGAAGGAACACAAUCCUCACCUGGGUUCGCGUGUUAGAGCUUUGAAGCUCUCGGCUUCAAUGGCAGAAAAGUCCACAGUGCUCUGAUGGCGCAUGCAAGGGUAUCGUUGAGUUCGUUAAGUCUCAAGGAUCCCAAAUAUAUGGUUUUGGGGUUUGAUUUGUGAGGGAAGUGAGGUGAAAGCUAGAGAGAAGCUCUCGGAGCUUAGAGAGUGUGAGAAAGAGAGAGAAGAAACCGAAAGAAAGAGAGCACUGAGAUUCUCAGAUGUGUUUCGGGCAGAGAUGAAAGGAAAGAGGGAUCUGAGAGCUGCCACAUGGCAGUUUAAGAUCAAUAGCCUUUCUAGAUCAAGGGUUAGGAUUAAAAGAGAAUAAGGGACUAAAUUGAUAGAUAACAAAUAUGUUCUAGGGGAAAAUAGAAAUAGAAUGAAAAAUGGGGGUGGGGUAUAACACAAACAUAUUUGAGAGAGUUGUGCGGAUAAUGGACUGUGUUGUUAUGAUCCUUUCUGUUGCAGAUUGCAGCGGGAAGGUUGUGGUUGAAUUGGUGGUGCUGACUUGGACCUUUCUUUAGGGUUUGGAGAUUUAUCUGAACUAGGUUUGUCAAUAACCACCUUUUAAAUUUGCUAUAAUUAUAACCAAAAAUUGAUAUAGAAGUUAACAUUAAGGGGGCGUUUGUUGUACCGGACUGUCUUAGACUGGACUAGCUUCAAGGACUAAGCUGGACUGGCUUAGACUAGACUAAGCUGGAUUAACUUAGUGAAGCGUUUGGUGCAGUGUCGGACUAAAAAACAGGAUAAUUAACAAAACUGAAAAAUUAUAUUAUUUUAAAGCAUAUCUAGAAUAUUUUAUAUUAAUUCUUCCUCUCUCUUUUUUUCUUCUAGAAACCCUUUUUCUAGAAUGCUCCAUCUUCUCUGCCUCACCACUCCCCCUUUUUUCUCCAUCCGUCUCAAUCCUCUCUGCCUAUUGAUUGUUUCCUUCAGCCAUCUAUUGCUUUCAUGGAAUCCCGUUUCCAAAAAAAUCAACCAAUGAAACACCUUUCAAAAUCCCAUCUCCUUUCAUGCAAUUCCCCAGUUCUUACUAAUUACCAUUCCAUUUUCUUUUGUUUUCUCUUUCAAUUUUCUAGCCAACCAAACACCUUUCAAAAUCCCUAAUUCCAAAUAAUUGCUCACCUUGUCUGGCGUACCAGAUUCAGAUUAUGGUCCACUGAAAACAAGAGUCAAAAAUUGAAUUCCCACAACAGAACGUGACUGGUGGGGAAAGAAUCAACGGAAGCAGGGUGGUUGGUAAGUGAAAAUUAAGGGUGUUUCUAGGAGAGAGCGAUGUAUGUAUGUGUGCGAUCUGAGAUACCAAAAGACCCAGAUCGUGGAAGACCCCAAAUCACCGAACCCAGAUGAAAAAAAUCCUUAUUUUCGAGGAUUGAGAUCUUGUAAGUUGGAAUGAUGCACAAGGUUUGGAUGAGGAAGAAGAUGAAAAUGGUUGUGGGAGCGAAGAAGAAGAAGCAGGGGCGAAACGAAAGAGGCUGAGCGGAGAUGGUCUUAGCGAGCCCCGUGGUUUGUGGAGGGUCUCGCUAAGAACUUCUAGUGAGGCUUCUAAUCCACGCGAGUCCCCUUUAGUCCCAUUUAACUUAGUCCCAAUACAAACCAAACAUAGGACUGUAGUCCAGUCUAGUCCAGUCCUAGUUAAUGAGGCCAAACAAACGCCCCCUAAAGGUCUUCUGCAAGAACCAACAAGCAAAAUUAAAACGAACAUCGGGUGUCUACAUCUUAGUGACACUUAUAAGCUUCUUGUUGUUAGUAAAGGAAGGCAUUUUUCUGGUGUGGUUGCAGAAAAAUGGAUUGGGAAGGACUCUUCGAAAGUUGGGGAAGAUUUGAAGGUCUUGCUGUCACAGUCUGCUACUCGAGGGCUUGAGCAAUCACCAAGCGCUUUGUAUGAGGGGUUGGAGGAAGAAAGAAAUGCUUCUACAAUCGCUUCAGAUCAAACAAUGGCCAUGAUUACAAAACUGCAAGAGAAGAAGGCAGUCCUGUUGUGCCUUGGCCCGUUCAUUAGUGCGGAAACGAGAUUCAGAUUACAACCACACCUAAAAUCACACCCAGUUAAACAGAAUAAAAUACAAGAAAUAAAGACAACGAGAAAUUUACGAGGUUCGGCAAAAACCUGCCUACGUCCUCAGAGAGAUAUUGCUCUUCACUAUGAGAAAAACAGUACAAGUUACACAUAAGUUAAAUCGACAUAACCCAAUCCCAUAUCCCUUGUACACCCACUCACAGAAUUUUCCCAAGAGCCUCACUCUACCCCAAGAGUUCUUUCACUAGAGACCUUUCACUCUAGCUCUCUUGAUUUUUCUCACCCGUGCCCAUACUUUCCCAUGGGAGAGCCGAAUGCUCUCCCCCUUGGAUGCUCUCUCAUGCCCUCUCAAGAGAGAGCCGAAUGCUCUCUCUCUCUCUCUCCUUCUCCACUUCGGCUCCUUGCAAUUAAAUGGACAGAAAAGUGAGUUAACUUCUCCUUUUUUUCAUAGACACAAUGAUGAUCCAUCAUGCUCCCUUUUCUCAAAACCCAAAACCACUUUCGGCAUGCAAAUGGGAAAUGAAUAAAAAAUGCCAAAACAAAAGGAAUCCCAUGAAACAUCAUCAUUGUCUUCCACUAUUAGCCAAAAUGAGAUAUGGACAUAUUUGGCCACUAUUCCGAAAGCAUAACACACAAAGUCACUUAAUUGUUAACAGCUCAAAAUAUGAGCCAAUCACAACAAUCUCCACCUUGGCGAAUACACCAUGCAAAAAUCCUUGCACCCAUCACCAAAGUCCAUUGGCCUUACGUACCAGCAUGCACACUCUGAAUCCACCUCAUUGGUCCUGUUCCGAUUCAGUCACUGCCAAUGCAUGUGAAGCUGCUGCAAGCUAAAAAUCACAAUUUAGCUUCAGACAGGAUCUCGACACAUCCUCGUCUCCUCCAACAGUUUUUUUUUCCCCUUCUUUAUUGUCUGCAACUUGGAAACUCGUCAGUGCACCCGUUUCCAGCAACAACCCAUCGAGCCAGACAAAAUUCCCCACACUUCUCUUCCUUCAGGACCAUCUCAUCACCUGUGAAUCCCUUAGCUCCACCUGCUGCAAAUCCCUUGCAACACUCGAGACUAAACAUCACCAAGAGAAGUGUUGCUUCGAGUACCUAGAGGGCAUACUCGAAGUCUUCCACCACAAACUUGCUACAACUCGGUCUAGCACCUGUAGCACUGUGGACCCUUGCCUCCGGAACCGGAUCUGAACCUGCUGUCUCUCUCAGAUCCUCUUUCCAAUUUUCUUCCACGAUUCCAACCUUUAAUAACUUAAGGAGUCUUGUGCCCACCAUUAUCCAUGGUCUCCUUUGUGUAUCAUUCCACACCAAAGAAGCUUGCACCUGCUCCAAACUUACUGUAACUUUCCAUGCAGUAAAGUUUCACAAGGUUAUAAGACAAAUCUGAAAGUGAGGUAAGAAGAAAGAGGCCUUUGUCUUCUUCCUCAACAUCAACUUUCGUAGUUGAUCUAAGCAUCCCUGAACACGGCUUCCAUUUCUUCAGGCUUCCAUUACUCUCCAUUACCAAGAGUAAAAUUGCCUCUCCCUUUAAACUGCUCAACUGAAAAUUCCAUGGUGAACAACAAAUCUGGACCUCCAACGAACCAAGCUUCCAACGAGCUCUGAUACCAAUUGUUGUGCCUUGGCCCGUUCAUUAGUGCGGAAACGAGAUUCAGAUUACAACCACACCUAAAAUCACACCCAGUUAAACAGAAUAAAAUACAAGAAAUAAAGACAACGAGAAAUUUACGAGGUUCGGCAAAAACCUGCCUACGUCCUCAGAGAGAUAUUGCUCUUCACUAUGAGAAAAACAGUACAAGUUACACAUAAGUUAAAUCGACAUAACCCAAUCCCAUAUCCCUUGUACACCCACUCACAGAAUUUUCCCAAGAGCCUCACUCUACCCCAAGAGUUCUUUCACUAGAGACCUUUCACUCUAGCUCUCUUGAUUUUUCUCACCCGUGCCCAUACUUUCCCAUGGGAGAGCCGAAUGCUCUCCCCCUUGGAUGCUCUCUCAUGCCCUCUCAAGAGAGAGCCGAAUGCUCUCUCUCUCUCUCUCCUUCUCCACUUCGGCUCCUUGCAAUUAAAUGGACAGAAAAGUGAGUUAACUUCUCCUUUUUUUCAUAGACACAAUGAUGAUCCAUCAUGCUCCCUUUUCUCAAAACCCAAAACCACUUUCGGCAUGCAAAUGGGAAAUGAAUAAAAAAUGCCAAAACAAAAGGAAUCCCAUGAAACAUCAUCAUUGUCUUCCACUAUUAGCCAAAAUGAGAUAUGGACAUAUUUGGCCACUAUUCCGAAAGCAUAACACACAAAGUCACUUAAUUGUUAACAGCUCAAAAUAUGAGCCAAUCACAACAAGUCCUCCAUAUGGAAGCACUCCAGCAACUAAGAAUGAUGGAAGAGCAAGCUGAGUACGAUAAUGAAGCGCUGCAAAAGACAGACAACUUCUUGUCGAGAAGGAGAAGGAAAUACAAGAUUUAGAAGCAGAGCAGAAGGCACUCCAUGCAUACUGAGAGUUUCUUGAACACACGAUUAACCCGAUUCUCAUUUCUCUUCAAUAUUUAGCAUACCCUAGACAGAAUUGCACCGUUACAGUUUGAAGUUUGCUUUCUAAGUAUUCUUCUCUCUAACAUUUGCUGAAAUUGGUAUUCUGUCAAGUUUUCUGUUUUGAUAUCAAUUGUGAAGAAUGAAAUUCCAAAACAUUUUAUCAUACUUGCUUAGGCUAUGUGUUCCUCAACAAGCAUGCAAGCCAAGCUAAGGUAAGCUACCAAUGUUAUGUGAGACCUACUUCAUACAAGACAACGAGAUGACAGCAAGAGGAGAAUGCACGAGAGAAAAACUUGAAACCGAAAACAACUUCAAAUGUUUUUCGAUUUUGAUUUCUAGUUCUCAUGCACUGUACCAUUUUGUCGUAUACAUUUCUUCCACCAUCCUUCCUCCACUCAUCUUCAUACUUCAUUUUUUAUUUUUGUCUUCAAGUAGGCAUUCUACGGCUAAUGUGUUGGAAAAAGUUAUGAAAAUUUGCUAUAUAUUUUAUUAUAAAUUAUUAAAUAAUACACAAUAAAAUCUCUAUAAAUGCAAGAAGAACAAGGAAUGGAAGAACCUUAAGAGAUUGAGGGUAGAAUUUGAUUCUAUAACCUUAAGACAAGAUUGCCCCUCAGUGGUGCCUCAAGGUUUGCGUUGGCAAAUGUCUCUCAGGAUACAAUGAUCUUUCUCUUUGCGGAAGUAGCACUCGAAUCCACAAAGAACAGCGAACCAAAAGUGUUUAAAACUCUCUCUUUGUUGAACACUAAACUACUCUAAUUUCUAUAUGAUUUCUGAAUGCAAAGCAUAUUUAAAAUGCUUGACUUGGUGGUCUAUUUAUAGGCUUUGGCAUGCCCCUUUUCCAAAGGUUGUAUCUGCUUCCAAAAGGCAAAGGACGCAACCCUUAUUCAAGAUUACAUCUGCAACCGAAACACAAGGGUUGCGUUUGAUUUCUCAUAAGACAAAGAUGCAACCUUUUCCAAAGUUGCAUCUGUUUUCAAACUGACAAAGGUUGUGACCUUUGUUCAAACAUGCAUAACCCUUGAAAACUGCCGGUCAAACCCAUCCAUGACUAUUUUAAUUUCCAUUUUAAUUUCCAUUCACUUGAACAUUAAAAUUUAAAUAUUAAUAAUACUAAUAUUUAAAUAUUAAAUUUCUAACAUAAUGAAGAAAAAACUGUAAACAGUAAACUAAAAAAUGCACAUAGAAACCUAAUAGUAAGCCAACAAAAAUGAAUUCAGCCGUACAUUCUAUUAUUCUUGAAUCUUCAACUUGCCAGGGGUGGUACAAUAUAUAUUUGUUGUACGUUUGUUUAUUUCUCUACUCUUUUUUGUUCCACAUGAAAAUAAAUCUACAUGAAAAUUCAGAGGGAAGAGAAAAUAGGAACACCCGGCAAGGAGGUUCCUGCAUCAACAAUAUAAAUGUUGCCAGAGACAUAUUCAGAAGAGUCAUGUACCAAAUAUCGAACUAGCGAUGUCAAUGCUGGAUCUGAAGUGCCAAAUGUUCUUAAAGGGACAAUUUUCAUAGCCACAUUGUGCAGCCAGUCUUUUUGCAUAAGACGCUCCGUAAUUUCCGAUCUGAAAAGUCCAAGUGAUAUUGCAUUCACUCUGAUUUUGUGUACCCCCAGCUCCAUAGCCAUA
RNAcentral lists this long non-coding RNA (60721 nucleotides) under Malus domestica (apple). The record is from RNAcentral. Lineage: Eukaryota; Viridiplantae; Streptophyta; Magnoliopsida; Rosales; Rosaceae.